ACCAUAAAGCCUAAGCUUGGGGAUGCCCCGGGAAGGCAUCCCCUCUUUCGUCUUCAAUCCAUCGGUAACAUUACUUGGAGCUAUAUUUUUAUUCACCACAUGAUAUGUGUUUUGCUUGGAGCGUCUUGUAUCGUAGGAGACUUUUCUUUUUGUUGUGUCACAAUAAUCCUUGCUGCACACCUUUUUGAGGGAGAGAGAGAGAGAGACAUGCACUCAUCGUGAUUUUGCUAGAAUGCUCAUAGUGCUUCACUUAUAUCUUUUGAGCUAGAUACUUUUGCUCUAUGUGCUUCACUUAUAUCUUUUAGAGCACGGCGGUGCGUGACUUGGUAGUUGUCUUAUGCUAUGAAAGUAGUCCCAAAGGUGAUAGGUACCCAAAGAUAAUGCAAAAACCUCCAUCUUCAUGUGCAUUGAGUAGAAAGAGAAGUCUUGAUUCCUCUCAAUUAGUUUUGAGAUGUGGAUUUGGUAAUAUUAAGAGCUAUGUUAGUAGGGUGUUGUGAAUCUAGAAAUACUUGUGUUGAAGUGAGUGAUUCCCGUAGCAUGCACGUAUGGUGAAUCGCUAUGUUAGGAAGUCGGAGGAUAAUUGAUCUAUUGAUUGUCAUCCUUUGUGUUGAGGUCGGGAUCGCAUGAUGGUUAACACCUACCAACCCUUCCCCUAGGAAUAUCCGUUUAGCACUUUGUUUCGAUUACUAAUAAAAACGUUCGCAACAGGUAUGUGAGUUCUUCAUGACUAAUGUGAGUCCAUGGUAUAGAUGCACUUUCACCUUCCACCAUUGCUAGCCUCUUUAGUGCCGCGCAAUUCUCGCCGGUGCACAAACCCACCAUAUGCCUUCCUCAAAACAUCCACCAUACCUACCUACUAUGGCAUUUUCAUAGCCAUUCUGAGAUAUAUUGCCAUGCAACUCCCACCGUUCCGUCUCAUGACUUGUGUCAUCACUCUCAUAUUGCCAUUGCAUGAUAGUAAGAUAGCUAGCGAGAUGUUUCCAACAUCAUAUGCCAUGCUAGAUCGUUGCACAUCCCGGUACACUGCCGGUGGCAUUUCCUAUAGAGUCAUCAUCAUUUUGAGCUUUGAAGUUGUGAGUAAAUAAAAGUGUGAUGAUCAUAAUUAUUAGAGCAUUGUCCCAUGUGAGGAAAUAAAAAAUAGAGGCCAAAGAGCCCAAAAUAAAAAAAAGGGAAAAAAGAGGCCUAAGAGCCCAAAUGAAAAAAAAGAGAAAAAGAGAGAAGGGACAAUGCUACUAUCUUUUUCCACACUUGUGCUUCAUAAUAGCACCAUGUUCUUCAUCAUUGAGAGCUUCUUUCUUUGUCACUACCAUAUGCUGGUGGGAAUCUUCAUUAUAUAACUAGGCUUGUAUAUACCAAUGAUGGGCUUCCUCAAAAUUGCCCUAGGUCUUCGUGAGCAAGCAAGUUGGAUGCACACCCACUAGUUCUCCUUUUGAGCUUUCACAUACUUAUAGCUCUAGUGCAUCCCUUGUAUGGCAAUCCCUACUCAUUCACAUUGAUAUCUAUUAAUGGGCAUCUCCAUAGCCCUAAGAUACGCCGAGUCAAUGUGACCAUCUCCUCCUUUUUGUCUCACAACCACCACCACACUCUAUUCCACCUAUAGUGCUAUAUCCAUGGCUCACGCUCAUGUAUUACGUGAUAGUUCUAAAAAGUUUGAGAAAGUAAGAGUGCGAAAACAAUUACCUGGCCAAUACAGGGGUUGUGCAUGAUUUACAUUAGUUGUGUGAGGAUGAUGGAGCAUAGCCAGACUAUAUGAUUUUGUAGGGAUAACUUUCCUUGGCCUUGUUAUUUUGAAAGUUCAUGAUUACCUUGCUAGUUUGCUUGAAGUAUUGUUGUUUUCAUGUGAGUAACAAACUAUUGUUUCGAAUCUUACGGAUCUGAACAUUCAUGUCACGUGAAAGAAGUUGCAAAGGACAACUAUGCUAGGUAGCAUUCCACAUCAAAAAUUCAUUCUUUAUCACUUCCCUACUCGAGGACUAGAAGGAGUUAAGCUUGGGGAUGCUUGAUACGUCUCCAACGUAUCUAUAAUUUUUUAUGGUUUCAUGCUAUUAUCUUGUCAAACUUUGGAUGUUUUGCAUGCCUUUUAUAUCUUUUUUGGGACUAACUUAUUAACUCAGUGCCAAGUGCCAGUUCCUACUUUUUCCAUGUUUGUGACCCCUUUCAGAGGAGAUUUUGAAACGGAGUCCAAACGGAAUAAUAUCCCCGAAAAGAUUUUUUCCGUAAUGGAAGAAGAUCAGGAGACUUGAGAGCUAAGGCAGGGGGCCUCAGGGGCCCCACAAGCCCCCACCACGCGGCCAGGGGGGAGGCCGCGGCCCACAGGAUUGUGGGCCCCCUGGACGUCCUUUGCCCUAGGUUUUGCGCCUAUAUGUCCCCAAAAAUUCCACAAAAAAUCAGGACAUCAUCGAAAGUACUUUUCUGUCGCCGCAAGCUUCUGUCUCCGCAAGAUCCCAUCUGGGGCACGUUCUCGUGCCCUGCCGGAGGGGGAUUCGGAUACGGAGGGCUUCUUCGUCAACACCAUGACCUCUCCGAUGAUGCGUGAGUAGUUCACCAUAGACCUACGGGUCCAUAGCUAGUAACUAGAUGGCUACUUCUCUCUCUUGGAUCUUCAAUACAAAGUUCUCCAUGAUCUUCAUGGAGAUCUAUCCGAUGUAAUCUUCUUUUGCGGUGUGUUUGUCGAGAUCCGAUGAAUUGUGGAUUUAUGAUCAGGUUAUCUAUGAAUCUUAUUUGAGUUUCUUCUGAUCUCUCUUAUGCAUGAUUUCAUAUCCUUGUAAUUCUCUUCGAGUUGUGGGUUUUGUCUGGCCAACUAGAUCUAUGAUUCUUGCAAUGGGAGAAGUGCUUGAUUUUGGGUUCAUACCGUGCGGUGACCUCACCCAGUGACAGAAGGGGUAGCGAGGCACGCAUCAUGUUGUUGCUAUCAAGGGUAAAAAGAUAGGGUUUUCAUCAUUGGUUUGAUAUUAUCCCUCUACAUCAUGUCAUCUUGCUUAAGGCGUUACUCUGUUCGUCAUGAACUCAAUACACUAGAUGCAUGCUGGAUAGCGGUCGAUGUGUGGAGUAGUAGUAGUAGAUGCAGAAAGUAUCGAUCUACUUGUCUCGGACGUGAUGCCUAUAUGUAUGAUCAUUGCCUUAGAUAUCGCCAUGACUUUGCGCGGUUCUAUAAAUUGCUCGACAGUAAUUUGUUCACCCACCGUGAUAUUUUCUAUUUUGAGAGAAGCCUCUAGUGAACACUAUGGCCCCCGGGUCUACUCCACACCAUAUUUUCAGCCUUACACUUUUUACUUCGUUGCAUUUUUCGCCUUCAGAUCUCACUUUGCAAACAAUGUUGGAGGGAUUGACAACCCCUUUGAAGCGUUGGGUGCAAGCUCGUUUGUGUUUGCGGAGGUACUCUGGACUUGACGAGACCCUCCUUCUGGAUCGAUACCUUCGUUCUCAAACUGAGGGAAAUACUUACUGCUCCUGUGCUGCAUCACCCUUUCCUCUUCAAGGGAAAAACCGACGCACACAAGAGAAGUAGCAAGAAGAAUUCCUGGCGUUGCGAGGGAAGGACUUUUGUUGUCGUAGCAACCAUCUAUGAUUGUGAACACUCACUAAACUAUUGCAUGCUUAGAAGUAGAUGUUGGACAAGGAAGACAACAUAAUGAAUUAUGUUUGCUUGGUUCCGAACAAUGAUUAUAUGACUAGAGAUCCCUUAGCAUGUGACGAUUGCUUCGACCUCAUAUCAGCCAAAACUUCCGCACUAAGUAGAGAUACUACUUGUGCAUCCACAAACCUUCAACCCCAGUUUUUCCAUGAGAGUCCACCAUACCUACCUAUGGAUUGAAGAAGAUCCCUCAAGUAAGUUGUCAUCGGUGCAAGCAAUAAAAAUUGCUCCCUAAAUAUGUAUGACCUAUUAGUGCGUGGAAAAUAAGCUUUGAACGAACCUGUGAUGAGGAAGACAUAAAAGCGAGAGACUGCAUAAUAAAGUUCUUUAUCACAUGAGGAAAUAUAAGGUGACGUUCCUUCACACUAAGAGGUCACACAUCCAAACCUCAAAAGCACAUGACAACCUCUGCUUCCCUCUGUGAAUGGCCUAUCUUGUACCUUUACUUUUUGCCCUUGAAAGAUUCGUGGUGAUCUACACCAAUUCCUUAUUUCGCCUUUUUUUCUUGGCUAACAUCAUAUGCUAGGGAAAGAUCUAUAUUCAUAUGUCAAAUUGGAAGUAAGUAUUCAUGAAUUAUUAUCGUUGGCAUUACCCUUGAGGUAAAUAGUUGGGAGGCGAAACUAUAAGCCCAUAUCUUUCUGUGUGUCCGACUGAAACUUUGAUCUCAUGAGUACCACGUGAGUUGUAGCAAUUGUAGAAGACGAAAGGAUGAUUGAGUAUGUGAAUUUGCUUUACAAGCUCUUAUUUGACUCUUUCCGAUUUUAUGAUAAAUGGCAAUUGCUUCAAUGACUAUAGGCUAUUGGUUGUUAAUUCUCAGUAAGGUUCUUGAUCCUUACUUUACUUUGUGAAGGAAUUGUCACUUUAGCAUGAGAGAUUAUAUGAUGAUAUUGUUGUUCUGAUUAUGAUCAUGAUGCCUGCAUGUCCGUAUCUUGUUUAGUCGACACCUCUCUCUCUAAACAUGUGGGCAUAUUUAUUGAUCUCAGUUUUCGCUUGAGGACAAGCGAGGUCUAAGCUUGGCGGAGUUGAUACGUCCAUUUUGCAUCAUGCUUUCUUGUUGAUAUUUAUCUCUUUAUGGGAUGUUAUUACACUUCACGGUACAAUACUUAUGCCUUUUCUCUCUUAUUUUGCAAGUUUUACAUGAAGAGGGAGAAUGCCGGCAGCUGGAAUUCUGGCUUGAAAAAGGAGCAAGUUUGAGAUACCUACUGUGCGCAACUCCAAAAGUCGUGAAAAUCAACGAGGAUUUAUUUUGGAAUUUAUAAAAAAUACUAGGCCGAAGAAGUACCAGAGUGGAGCCAGCAGGAGGCCACAAGCCUUCUAGGUGUGGCCUAACCCCCUAGCCGCGCCUAGGGGGCUUUUGGGUCCCUAGUUGCCCUCUGGCUCCCCUCUUUUGCUAUAAGGAGGGUUUCGUUCCAGAAAAAAUCAAGAGGAGGCUUUCGAGAGGAAUCGCCGCCGCCACGAGGCGGAACUUGAGCAGAACCAAUCUAGAGCUCCGGCAAGGUCGUCCUACCGGGGAAACUUCCCUCCCGGAGGGGGAAAUCGUCGUCAUCGUCAUCACCAACACUCCUCUCAUCGGAGGGGACUCGUCACCAUCAACAUCUUCAUCAGCACCAUCUCAUCUCCAAACCCUAGUUCAUCUCUUGUAACCAAUCUCCGUCUCGUGACUCCAAUUGGUACUUGUAAGGUUGCUAGUAGUGUUAAUUACUCUUGUAGUUGAUGCUAGUUGGACUACUCGGCGGAAGAUUAUAUGUUCAGAUCCUUGAUGCUAUUCAAUACCUCUCUGGUCAUGAAUAUUAUUAUGCUUUGUGAGUAGUUAUUUUUGUUCCUGAGGACAUGGGAUAAGUCAUGCUAUUAGUAGUCAUGUAAAUUUGGUAUUCGUUCGAUAUUUUGAUGCGAUGUAUGUUGUUUUUCCUCUAGUGGUGUUAUGUGAACGUGGACUACAUAACACUUCACCAUUAUUUGGGCCUAGAGGAAGGCAUUGGGAAGUAAUAAGUAGAUGAUGGGUUGCUAGAGUGACAGAAGCUUAAACCCUAGUUUAUGCAUUGCUUCGUAAGGGGCUGAUUUGGAUCCACUAGUUUAAUGAUAUGGUUAGACUUUGUCUUAAUUCUUCUUUCGUAGUUGCGGAUGCUUGCGAGAGGGGUUAAUCAUAAGUGGUAUGUUUGUCCAAGUAAGGGCAGCACCCAAGCACCGGUCCACCCACAUAUCAAACUAUCAAAGUAGCGAACGCGAAUCAUAUGAACAAGAUGAAAACUAGCUUGACAGAAAUUCCCAUGUGUCCUCGGGAGCGGUUUACCUCCUAUAAGAGUUUGUCCAGGCUUGUCCCUUGCUACAAAAUGGAUUGGGCCACUUUGCUGCACCGUUGUUACUUUUGUUACUUGCUACUUUCUACGAAUCAUCUUAUCACACAACUAUUUGUUACCGAUAAUUUAAGUGCUUGCACAGAUUACCUUGCUGAAAACCACUUGUCAGAUCCUUCUGCUCCUCGUUGGGUUCGACACUCUUACUUAUCGAAAGGACUAGAUAGAUCCCCUAUACUUGUGGGUCAUCAUGGCGCUAUCAUUGUUAACUCUACAACUUUUGGUCUCAAUGUUAUGUAUAUGUGUGUCAUCACAAUCAAGAUUCAACAUGAACAAGCCCCUCACAUUGGGUGCAUGACCAUAAAAGAUAUUACUCAUCAAAAUAGAGCAGCCAUUAUUCUCUGACUUAAAUGAGUAACCGUCUCGCAAUAAACAAGAUCUAGAUAUAAUGUUCAUGCUUACCGCAUGCACUAAAUAACAAUUAUUUAAGUUCAUAACUAAUCCUGAUGGUAACGGAAGUGACAUUGUGCCGACGGCGAUUGCAAUAACCUUGGAACCAUUUCCCAUGCGCAUCGUCACUUCAUCCUUCACCAGCCUUCGUUUAUUCCGCAGUACCUAUUUCGAGUUGCAAAUAUGAGCAACAGAACCGGUAUCAAAUACCCAGGCACUACUACGAGAGCUCGUUAAGUACACAUCAAUAACAUGUAUAUCACAUAUACGUGGUUUGGCGUUGCCCGCCUUCUUAUCACCCAAAUACUUGGGGCAGUUGCGCUUCCAGUGACCCAUCCCCUUGUAAUAAUAGCACUCUGUUUCCGACUUAGGUCCAGCCUUGGGUUUCUUCAUCGGAUUAGCAAUAGUCUUGCCUCUCUUCUUGGAGUUAUCCUUCUUGCCCUUGUCGUUUUUCUUGAAACCAGUGGUAUUAUUGACCACCAACGCUUGAUGCUCUUUCCGGAGUUCUCACUCUACGAAUUUCAGCAUCGCGAAUAACUCGCCGGGUGACUUGUUCAUCCCUUGCAUGUUAUAGUUCAACACAAAGUUCUUGUAGCUAGGUGGCAGUGAUUGAAGAAUUAUGUCAGUGAUAGCCUCUUGCGGGAGUUCAAUCCCCAGCUCGGCUAGACUGUUUGAAUACCCAGACAUUUUGAGCAAAUGUUCACUGACAUACGAAUUCUCCUCCAUCUUGCAAGCAUAGAAUUUAUCGGAGGUCUCAUACCUCUCGAUCCGAGCGUUCUUCUGAAAGAUAAACUUCAACUCCUGGAACAUCUCAUAUGCUCCAUGACGUUCAAAGCGUCGUUGAAGUCCCGGUUCCAAGCCAUACAAGACUGCACAUUGAACUACUGAGUAGUCCUCCUUACGCGAUUGCCAAGCGUUCAAAACAUCUUGGUCAGACGUAGCGGGUGGUUCAUCUCCUAGCGCAGCAUCAAGGACAUAAUUCUUUUUCUCGACUUGUAGGAUGAGCCUAAGAAUACGAGCCCAGUGUACAAAGUUGCUACCAUCAUCUUUCAGCUUAGCUUUCUCUAGGAACGUUUUGAAAUUCAGGGUUGCUACUGCGUGAGCCAUUGAUAUACAACAUAAAAUAUUGCAAAGUGGACUUAGACUAUGUUCAAGAUAAUUAGAGUUUAACUAAUCAAAUUACUAAUAAACUCCCACUCAAAUAGACAUCCCUCUAGUUACUUGCGUGUGGCAUGAUCCAAAUUCACUAACUCAAAUCCGAUCAUCACGUGAGUUGAGCGUAGUUUUAGUGGUAAACAUAUCUAUGCUAACCAUAUCAACUAUAUGAUUCAUGCUUGACCUUUCGGUCUCUCGUGUUCCGAGGCCAUGUCUGCACAUGCUAGGCUCGUCAAGUUUAACCCGAGUGUUCCGCAUGUGCAACUAUUUUGCACCCGUUGUAUAUGAACGUUUGAGUCUAUCACACCCGAUCAUCACGUGGUGUCUCGAAACAAUGAACUGUAACGGUGCACAGUCGGGUAGAACACAAUUUUAUCUUGAAAUUUUAGUGAGGGGUCAGCUUAUAAUACUACCGUCGUUCUAAGCAAGAUAAGGUGCAUAAAAGGAUUAACAUCACAUGCAAUUCAUAAGUGACAUGAUAUGGCCAUGAUCUUGUGCUUCUUGAUCUCCAUCACCAAAGCACCGGCAUGAUCUUCAUCGUCACCGGCACCACACCAUGAUAUCCAUCGUCAUGAUCUCCAUCAUCAUGCCGCCAUCGAGAUUGUCAUGCUAUCUAUGCUAUUACUACUAAACCUACAACCUAGCAAUAUAGUAAACGCAUCUGCAAACACAAACGUUAGUUUAAAGACAACCCUAUGGCUCAUGUCGGUUGCCGUAGCAUCGACGUGUAAGUCGAUAUUAACUAUUACAACAUGAUCAUCUCAUACAUCCAAUAUAUCAAAUCAUGUCUUUGGCCAUAUCACAUCACAAUCAUACCCUGCAAAAACAAGUUAGACGUCCUCUAAUUUGUAGUUGCAUGGUUUACGUGGCUGCUAUAGGUAUCUAGUAUGAUCGCAUCUUACUUACGCAAAGACCACAACGGAGAUGUGCAAAUUGCUAUUUAACCUCUCUCCAAGGACCGCCUCGGUCAAAUCCAAUUCAACUAAAGUUGAAGAAACAGGCACCCGUCAGUCAUCUUUAUGCAACAAGUUGCAUGUUAGUCGAUGAAGCCGGUCUCUCGUAAGCAUAAGAGUAAUGUUAGUCCGGGCCGCUUCAAUCCAACAAUACCACCGAAUCGAGAAAAGACUAAGGAGGGCAGCAAAUCGAACAUCAAUGCCCACAAAAACUUUUGUGUUCUACUCGAGAUAACAUCUACACAUGAACCUAGCUCUCAUACCACUGUUGGGGAACGUUGCAUGGGAAACAAAAAAUUACCUACGCACACGAAGACGUAUCAUGGUGAUGUUCAUCUACGAGAGUGAGAUCAGAUCCACAUACCCUUGUAGAUCGCUCAGCGAGAAGAAUUAAGAAACGCAGUUGAUGUAGUGGUACAGCUUUGUGAUUCAAAUCACCGUCGUCCCACGAUCCGUCCUGAUCUAGUGCUGAACAGACGGCACCUCCGCGUUCAGCACACGUACAGACGGCACCACACGAUGACAUCCCAACAAGAGAGACGGGUAAGUAGAUGAGUUCUCCGGUACCGUGACGGCGCGCCGGUGAUGGUGAUGAUCUAUUCCUGCAGGGCUCCGCCUGAGCUCUGCAGAAAUCCGAUCUAGAGGAAGAACUAUGAGGUAUAGGUUUGAGUUGCACGUGGCAAAUUUCUGUCUCAAAACCCCUAAAACCUCUAGUAUAUAUAGGAGGAGGGGAGGGGCUAUCCUUGGGGCUCAAGAGAGACCCAAGGGCGCCGCCCGAAGGAGGAGAUGGACUCCCACUCCAAUUCGGUUUCGAGGAGGAGGAGUCCACUCCUUCCUUCCCACCUCCCUCUCUUUUUUUUCUUUUCUUUGGUUUUUCUCCUUGCGGCACCAUAGCCCACUUGGGCUGGCCUCAGCAGCCCACUAAGGGCUGGUGCGCCACGCUAGGACUAUUGGGCUCACUCCCGGGUGGGUGGGCCCCUCCCCGUGAAUACCCGGAACCCAUUCAUCACUCCCGGUAGACCGCCGGUAAUGCCCGAAAUCUUUCCGGUGACCUAAUGAAACCAUCCUAUAUAUCAAUCUUUGUUUCCGGGCCAUUCCGGAAACCCUCGUGACGUCCGUGAUCUCAUCCGGGACUCCAAACAACCUUCAGUCACCAACACCUAUAACUCAACUAUACCGAAACGUCACCGAACCUUAAGUGUGCAGACCCUGCGGGUUCGAGAACUAUGUAGACAUGACCUGAGACACUCCCCAACUAAUAUCCAAUAGCGGUACCUUGAUGUCCAUAUUGGAUCCUACAUACUAUACGAAGAUAUUAUCAGUCGAACCUUUGUGCCAAGGAUUCAUAUAAUCCCGUAUAACAUUCCCUUUGUCCUUCGGUAUGUUACUUGCCCGAGAUUUGAUCGUCCGUAUCUCUAUACCUGUUUCAAUCUCAUUACCGGCAGGUCUCUUUACUCGUUCCGUAAUACAAGAUCCCGUGACUUACACUUUAGUCACAUUGCUUGCAAGGCUUGUAUGUUAUGUUGUAUUACCGAGUGGGCCCCGAGAUACCUCUCCGUCACACAGAGUGACAAAUCCCAGUCUUGAUCCAUGCUAACUCAACGGACACCUUCAGAGCUACCUAUAGAGCACCUUUAUAGUCACCCAGUAACAUUGUGACGUUUGAUAUACACAAGGCAUUCCUUCGGUGUGAGUGAGUUACAUGAUCUCAUGGUCAUAGGAAUGAAUACUUGAGACGCUGAAAACAAUAGCAACAAAAUGACACGAUCACAUACUACGUUCAUAGUUUGGAUCUUGUCCAUCACAUCAUUCUCCUAAUGAUGUGAUCCAGUUAUCAAGUGACAACACUUUGCAUAUGGUCAGAAAACCUUAACCAUCCUUGAUCAACUGGCUAGUCAACUAGAGGCUUACUAGGGACAUUGUUUUGUCUAUAUAUCCACGCAUGUAUCUAUGCUUUCAUUCAAUACAAUUAUAGCAUGGAUAAUAAACGAUUAUCUUGAAACAGGAAAUAUAAUAAUAACUAUUUUAUUAUUGCCUCUAGGGCAUAUUUCCAACAAAAGUUCUAUGCCAAAAUACAUGAAGCACCAAAUAACACACAUAAGAUUAAUGGCAUGGUUGAAGUUGGCUGGUCCAAAAUGCUGUAAAUAGCCCAAUGUUUUGUGAUAAAGUCAUCAUAUCCAUGUGCUAGGUUGCUAUUUACCUGAAACCCAUACAAAUUUCUCAAGAAAGUGAGCCUUUAACCCAAAAAUUGUUCAAACUUCAUAGGAAAAUUGGUACAAACAGAUUACGCAUUGCUUUAUUAUCCUGAAUAAAUUACACAUAUGAUUUAGAAAUUCUUUAAAUGGAAGUUGUCCCUGUGUAAUCUACUUCAUAUAAGAUUAUACAGUCAAGAAGUAAAGCGAUAACAUGAAUUAGAUAGGAUAAAAACAUGUUAUUAAAUAGAUGGUUUCUCGCAUGCAGCCAACAUUCCACUAAUUCCAAUCAUAGUAAUUUCAUUACAUCACAUAAAAAGAAUGGAUUGUAGUAAACUUCAUGUAUGGAGUGAGUCAUAUUACCUGCAUCUCGUGGCGCAUUUGUUACCUUCUACGCAUCUUUGAUCUCUUUUUUAGAAAAGGAGGAUGACCCCGGCCUCUGCAUCUGGGAGAUGCAUACGGCCACUUUAUUAAUUAUUCUCGAGGACCUUACAAAGUAUUACAACAUUAUGCGUGAAUCCACCAUCUUGGCAAAAAGUGCCGCUACUCCUAUCCAUAUGACGUAGGGGUGCUAGAUGGGCCCCUACCCAUACCACUCACCUAAGUCUAACAUCAAAAGCCGGAAGCCCCAACCGAGCCACGUACCGGGUCUGGGGCACAAACCGGUCGGACACAUUCAUGUGCUGUCGUCGCCAUCUUCCAUCGUUCCGUCUUUAAAGCAGAUAUUGAGGCUUCUACCUUGUCUAGCCACUCUGCCAUUGACGUCACCAUGACGCCAAACAGCUACCUCCUCCUGCGCGAGUCCAUCUCCACGCAUCGGAUGCCGAGUCCCCAUAGUGCCACGUCGCCGAUAUCUGCCGCCAUCAAUGUGUGAGAUGAAGCACCGCUCCACCAUCCCUCCAGUCAGCACUUGCUGCAAAAUGAUGCCCCCAGGAAGGAAGGCGAUAGAACACCAUCAUCGUUCGAUCCAGGAAGACCCAAAUCUAGAGUUUCCUUCGGAGCAUCCCGAGCCUGAUAACACAAACUGCAACUCGCAGUUGCUCCACCAAACGAGCGGCGUCGACGCCACCGUAGCCUCCAAGAUGAAGCUGGCCAAAAUACACCGACAUCGAACCGCCGCCACCUCCAUCACCGCUUGAGAAGCCCUCGAGCAAUGCCUUCAGGAAGGAGCACGCCACUGCAGUGUCGUCGUCGCUUGGAACAAGGGGAUCUGAGGUUUUCACCUGAGCUCCUGGGAGGGGUGGAAGGAAGGCGAUACUCUCCGAAGCCUCCAGCAAGGGGAGAAACACCCAAAGGCGCUGCCUUCGGAGUGGCCGCCGCACCAGCCAAGGGAUUCCCCCGGAACCCUUCCAUCCACCGGAUCUGCAAGGCCUUCACCCAAGAAUAGCGAGAAGCCAUCAGGGGCCGGAUCCACUGCAGAUCGGAGUAGAUCGUGGUCGAGGACGAGCAUCACCAUGGCCACCAGCAUCCAGCGAGACCCGUCGCCGCAGCCGACGCCCACCACCUUCCCGCCACCCACACGGUCGAGCAUGGGAGGCCGAGACCGUGCCUGCAGAACCAGAUCCGCAAUGGAUCCAUAACCGCGCUGCCGCCCCGAAGCCAACUCCUCGCGCAGCCGUCAUGGCCUGGCCGCCCGCUCGCUCCGCCGUCUGGCCACCGCGCCGCCCGACACGCCCUCGCCGCAUCAGCAUCAAGACUCCACCGCGUCGCCUCAUCUCGCGCUACAGCCGCACACCGAGAGGGGGAGAAGGGCCCGCCGUCGCCGCCGCGCAUCGGGCUUUGCCCGGCGACGGCGAGGGGAGGGGAUAGUAUAGGAGACCGACGCGGGGUGGAGGCUAGGGUUCCCCCGCCGCCGCCCAUGAGAGCGACGCGAGGGACGCGGGGUGGAGGCUAGGGUUCCCCCGCCGCCGCCCGCGAGAGCGCAUCUUUGAUCUACAGCAGUAAUAGUUACUUAGCAUCUCCCAUAGCCAAUAGGGGACCAAUUAGCAGAAAAUAAAACAAAGCAAGUGCUCUAGAUUCUUACCAUGGCAGAUGGACAUGCAAUUGAUAUCCCCUUAGCAUCUGCCAUGGUAAGCACGUCUCCAUAUGGACAAGGCAAGACAGUUUCCCUUUUGAACACUAAAUCGACGACAAUUUCAACAAAUUGAGAACCUAGAGGCUCACCCCCACCACAACCUUUGAAUUAGUUGUUUCAAUUGUUAAUUUCAUUUUAAAGAAGCAUCAUAUUGACAAAAUAUUUUUAGAUGAAUUAUCAUUCAGACUUAAGUCAAAUGAAAGGAUUACCCCUUGUUGCUUGUCAUGUUUGUCUGCAUUAACAACUUUUCUUCCAAUAACAUUUGACUCAGCCACGUCCUCCAGAAUAUAAUUACCUGGUUUAGUAUUAGUAGUUUCUCUUGACCUUAUGCCCCACAUCAAAAUCAAGCAUUGUAGAUGUUAUUACAUGUUCCACUAUUGCAGAGGUACAAUAUAAUAGAUCUAUAAUGCUACCUGUUGUCCUGUUGUACGUAUGCUAUUGGUUUGAUCUCGUUGCCCCUGUGGAGACAAAAGAAGUUCCCUCAUAUCAGCCAUUUGCUUCUUCAUGUCAUCCAUUUCUGCCAUUUUCUUCUUCAUGUCAUCAUUUGUUCUUGCAGAUGUUCGACUUUUUGGUCACAUACACGACACACUUCCUUUGCCAUUUGAAGCUUCAUAGAUUUAUACUCCUUGGUUCCAUGCAACUCUACUUCAUAUGGAGUUGGCCCCAAUCGUAUAGCACGAACAUAUCCAUUUUUUCUUUUCCACAAACAAAUGCAAACAAAUCACCAUCCUUAAUACCAUUCUCCACUAAUUCAGGGUGCUCUCCUGCUACAUAUUGAAGUUCUUUGUGUAAAUUUCAGGAAUGUGUUAUGUGCUCCUAGUAUUUACUACAUAAAUAAGAAUAUGAAAGGCAUCAAAAAAUCAAGUGCAUUUGAACUUACAAUUCUUAAUCCGGGCCCUUUUUGAUGAAUUCCACUAAUUCGAUGUGUAUGUGUUUCAAUAAAUAGUUCAUGUCUAUGAGGACGACGCUUGAGCACCUCGGUCUAUGUUGAGUAAUCAAAGGAUUAAAACAAUGAGCAAAAUGUACAAACAUCUAAGUUCAAAUAAGGACUGCAUAUAGUUGCAUACCAUUUUAGUGUCAACCCGACCAACACUCUUACUUCCACAUGUGUGAUUUUGAGUAUUAUUUGCUUGAUUUUUCCUCUUAUUGAGCGAGCCUGUCACAAUAUCAUGUCAAACAAGUAGAAUCACAUGUCAAUACCAACCUAACAAAGAGCAUACCUUAGCUAUUGGAGUUAACCAAAAUGCAAAAAGCAACUUCCAUUGGUCAAGAUGAACUCUAGCAUCACAUGAUGCUAUAAGUUCAUCAUACUCAUAUGAUUCAUCAUAAUAUUCCCUCUUUAGGUCUGAUUUGUAGUCUUUCCAUUUAAUUUGUGAUGUUUUCAUAUACCGUUGGAAAACUCGUUGGUCUAAUUCCCAAAACAACUGAAAAAUAGGCAUUCAAAUAAAGCAAUUUAAAAACAAUACUAAGGUAGCAUCCAAGACAUAAGAACAGUCCAUAAACACAUUACCUUUGCCUCCUUCCAUACAACAAUUUUUUUAGGCAAAUCAACCUUCCUCCAAUCAUCAAAUUCAACCAUAAAACCCUUGGUUCUUAUUUGUGUUCCAACAAAGUUAGCAAACCGUGUAGCAGAUCUACCACAAGGCUGACCAUACUCAUUGAUUUCCAACUUGAGUUUAGGCUUGUUUUGCCUUCCCCAUAUGCUUUUCUGGCACUAACUUUCCUGACUGCCCUUUCCUGGCCUAAUACACAAUAAACAUAGAAAAUAUGUUUAGUACUAUAAGUGCAUUAUCAUUCAAUUGCAAGAUACACACAUGAAAGUCAAGGAGCAUACCUUCAGGUUCAUUCAAUAUAGCCACAUGUUCAAUUAAUCUUGAUGUAGACCGCAGUUGCCAGUCUGGAGCUUCGGUUCCUGAAACAAAAAUUUUGCUUUUGUGUCUACAAUUAACCACAUAAAUCAGUAUUAAGUAUUGAAAAUGGGAUACCAUAGCAAAUGCAAUUUUCAGCUUUACAUAUUCACGUGUAGCAACAAUACCUUUUUCUUCUUUCCGGGAGCAGGUUGGCAUUGUGACUCAAAUGCAUUUGAUAGACCUUCAUGAUUCAAAGUUCUCGUCAUGUUCUCAUUUUGUUCUCUAAGUACUUCAACUACAUUUCUCUUCUUUUCAAGUUCAUAUUCAGGAACUAUUUUCGCGCUUCUUGUUGGGGUUACCAUUUUUGCUCCUGCUCCUGUAAGUGUUUACAAAUGAGUUAGGUGUCUAUACAACAAUCUAGUAGUUGAACUAAAAUAACAACAAAAUUUUACACAACUACCAAAUAAAAUGCAGAAAAUUGUUAUCACGAUUACUUCCUCUUUGCUGCAACAACAAUUAUUUCAUCUAUAUCAUUCCUUACAUGAGAAAAACUAGUAUAAUCAAUGUUGGGAUCAAGAUCUAUGUGUAGAUCAAUUAACAACCCCUUAUUAGCAUUUUCAAGAUCUACAUUUUCAUCAUCAUCAUCCAUAUUGUAUGCCUACAUGUAAAUUUUUUAGAUACUAGAACAAUUCAUGACAUAAUUAUACCGCUUAUGACGUCACAACAAAAUAAAUUUGAUGUACCUAGGCUUAGACAACAAUGUGUUUGUCCAUGAUGCACCCUUUAUAUCAAAUUUGCCAACUAUCUGAAUUUGGCCAGUGUUGUAGCGCUAGAUUUUCAUUGGUGAAGCGACAAUCAUUAAUUAGGGAAUGGAAAUACAAAAAAUAACUAUUCAAGCAAAAAAUGGGUAUCUAUUGUAACAAGCAAUUGCAUGUGAUUCAAGUACAGAGAAGGUAAUCUCAAGAGGAGUUGAUUCUUACUCACGGCCCUAAGAUGGAGCUACGACAAUGGAGUUUGGAUAUGAAGCCAGUGCAAUCGUAGGUCCGACAGCAGGGUGACAUCACCUCUGACAGCAGCAGCCAGCAGGGCGGCAACAUCUCCAGCAGGAACAACGGGACCGACAAUAGCAGCUUCGGCACCAGGGCAGCAGCAGCAGCUUCAACACCAGGGCGAGAGGAGCAGCAGGCGGCAGCUCCGGUAGAAGAUGGCGGCAGCAUCUCCGACGAUAGCAGCUCCUGCAACAUAUGGCAGCACGACAACAACAACUCGAGAAGCAGUAGCUCUGGCAACAGAUGACAGCAGCAGCUCCGACAACAGCAGCUCCGGUAGUAGCAACUCUGACAGCAUUCGCUCUUGCAGCAGCAGCUCCAGCAAGAGAUGGCAGCAUGGCGGCAGCAGAUGGCAGUAGCAGCUCCAUGAGAACCACACGGGAGGUGGAGCUCUAGGCCGGCAGCGGGGGUGGCCGACGCGUGGGGGAAGCCGGCGCGUGAGGUAGAGCGUGAGGGAGGCCGAUGGCAUGGGAGGUGGAGCAUGAGGCCGGCGACGCGGGAGGUGGAGCAUGAGGCCGGCGACGCAGGAGGUGGAGUGUGUGGCAUGGGUAGGGUUGCGGGUUGGCUGGAUUCGGGGGAUAUUUUGCUCGUGAGCCAAAAAAAUCAUCCUCGCGCCUAAAUCAUGCGCCAAAUUCGCGAUCAUCCGUGUUUUGACACGUGUCGACCUACGCUGACAUUUAGUCCAUGUCCAUACACCCUACCUAUGCCGACACUUUUAAUGUCAUUAAGUGUGUGUAUAUGCUGACUGAUAAACUGUCAAGGGACAUACAUAUGCCGACACAUACAGUGUUGUACAAGAAAUGUCGACACAUGCAUUGUAGCUAUGUGGUUGCCGACACAAAUUGUGUCGACAGUGAUGUAACCUUGCCGAGACAUGAUCCAAAGGCAAAACUUAAAAGCUAUGUUGACAGUUGUUUUGUUGGCAUUAGUGGACCUUUGCCAAUAGAAUGGUGUGACCUAAGCUCUACUGUGGUGUAGUGAGAAGGUGGUGUUGAUAUCAUCUCUUCCUCCACAAUAUCUCUAGGCCUCGGGCUACGAAAAGUUCUUGUCUCUUCCACCAUAUGUAGAGGUCUUGGUUUCUCCUUACACUACAGAAAUCAGUCAUUUUGCCGUCACGGCAUUACAGACAGCAAAGAAAGGAUUACUAACGGCAAAGAUUUUGUCGUCAUCCCCUAACGGCAAACAAUGUCGGCAUACACCAUGCCCGCAAAAGGUAAUUUUGUCGUCAGCCGUUGAUUAGGCAAACGACAAAGAUUUUUCCGUCAAUGGAAUAAGCGAGAUGACAAAAAAAAGUGACUAACAGAUACACAUGGCGGCGUUGAUGUCUUUGUCGUCAUCCUACUAGACCCAUGACGGCAAAGAAUGGGUAAAUAAUUAAAAAAAUGUUCGCUUGCAGAGACGGUGGCACAACACCAGGACGAUGAGGACGGGCAUGGCAAGACCGACACGGGUUUUGGCAGCGGGCCGGCGGUGCAAGGAGAUAGAUCAGGGUAGCAAGACAACGAAUUGGAGUAGAUCAGGGAUUAAGGAGGCCCUGGCGUUCGUCGACGGAGAGCUCCUACAGGUUCCAUGAAGGGAGAGAGAGGUAGAGGCAGCGCGAGCGAGCUCCUGGUGUUCGUCGGUGGUGUAGUCCGACGGCCUUGGUCUGUGAAGGAAGUCUUGAGCAGCACGGGGAGCUUCAGGGGCGGGACAGCCCCUUCGUCACCCACACGGACCAUGGGGCCGCUCGCGUCCUGCAUGAGAUGGGGGCGAACUGUAGGAGUCACGUCCGACGAUGCUCCUUACGACAGCGUGGCGCGAGUAACGACGGCGGCCGGUGGCUCGAGCGAGGGCGACGACCCGAACGGGGGCAACGGCCAUUGGUGCGAGCUCGGUCGGUUGACGGUGGCGCGAACAGGGGCGGCAGACGGUGGGGCGAGUGGCGGCCCAUGGCCCGAGCAAGGGCGGUCGUCGGUGGCCCGAGCAGGGGCGACGGCCGGUGGCGAGAGCGUCGGCUAGUGGCGCGGGUGGGGACGGUAGCGACAGGUGGCGCGAGCUGCGGCAGCCGGUGGCACAAGCGGGAAUGGAGAAAAGAAGCCUAGGGACGUGGGCGGCGGCCGACGACCGGAGUUUUGGCGGCCGGUGAGGUUGAAGUCGGAUGAUGGAUGGAUUGUUUGAUCUGGAUCUAAGAGAGAAAGUAACGAGUGGAGUCGGGUCAUGGGGUGGACGGGAUAACUUAGGGGUGUGGUGUGUGGUUGGGGAGGGCCCCGGCUACGGGUUGUGCAUCUAUGGUGGAUGCUUAUGCCACAUCAUCGGUCCAUGGGAUCGAUCUGUGGGUUGUGUUUUCUUUUUGCCGUCUGCGUUUUUUUACAAACGGCGAAGAGUACAGUUUGCCGUCAUUUUUUUAUAGACGGCAAAGUAUUUUUGCCGUCAUCAAUUUUUAUUAUAGACGGCCAAUUAUGUCUUUGCCGUCAUCUGUUUUUAUUACAGACAACAAAAUAUGUCUUUGUCGUCAUCCGUUUUUAUUACAGACGGCAAAAUAUGUCUUUAUCGUCAUCCUUUUUAUUACAAACGGCAAAAUAUCUUUGUCGCAGUAUUUUUUCUUUACAGACGAUAAAAUAUGACUUUGACAUCAGUCAUUCUUUGUCGUCACAAGUUGAUGGCAAAAGUGGUCUUUGACGUCAUCCACGAUAAAAAGUGGACGACAAAGAUCAUCAAAGACGGCAAAUUUACCCGAUUUCCGUAGUGUUAGUCUCUUUCAGGAAUUGUAUGUGUCUAGCAUCUUGGAACAUAUUGGGGUGUAAUUCAGCAGCAAACACACAUAGUUUUGUUGUUCUUGGAGCUGGAAGCAGGAGGGCUCGUAUGAGGUUGCGUGAGUGUGAAGACAGGCAGCUCCUGACACCCCACGCAACCUCUCUUCACACUCACUCCGGCCCAGCCGAGAGGGAUAUCAUGCUUCGAGUGUAUACGCACGCAGGCACAGGUUACUCCUCGUACUGUUGGUCACCAGUCACAUGAGACGAGGUACAUGCUGGCAUACUGCCCAUCGUGUAAAAAGCAUGGCUCCAUUCAGCAGAGUGCUCCACAGCGCGUCCGUGUAUGUACUGUUCGGUCACACUCACUGCCACACACGUACGCGGUACGCCGUCUUUUUUGUUUUUGCAUCGCGUUACACCGUCUCAUUACCUGCACACAUCAGUACGGAGGGGUACUCUCAAGUGUACAUCUAACACGAAAACGAUGGGUACCCAAGCUGAACUGAACUUUUGAACUGAAAAACAGCUCGUCGCAGCAGUAAUAAUACUGUACCGCUACUGAGAGAGAGAGAGAGAGGGGAACACCUUUGAGCGGUAGACGUAGGUGUAGGCGUAGGCGUAGGUGUAGGUGUAGGUGGGGGCUGGGGCUAGUAGGGUUGGGGACAGCUCCCAUCUCCGAAGUCUGCAGCAUGGCUGCUGUGCUCUUCUGCCUUUUGUUUGCUGCUGCCUCUGACGGCCGGCCAGCUUUACGGAAACCCAUAAACAAAGGGGCUCCGUCUCCGUCUCCGUUGGUUCGUCUGGGUCAGUCACGCACACUGUGCGCACACAUGUGUGCCCGUUCAAUUUCGACGCAAAGCCAAAGCCGAGAACGGGCAGCGAAAGCAAACUGCAAAAAGAAGAGGAUCAUAUGCGCCUGUAUGUAUGCGUGCGCCUGCCACUGCCGGUCAAGUAUCAAGUGACUCAGCGGCUGGCCUGCAGGGAUAGACACGGCGAGGAGACGUAAAGACGACGACGAGGCAGGGGAGGCAAGGGCGGCCAACUUGCGCCGUACGCGCGCAGGCUUUUGGGCACUGUUCGUGCAUGCGCCCCGCUCCAUGUGUUCCCAUCCACCUUGCGUGCGAAUUGUUUCUUCUCCUCUUCCCCUUUGCGACGACAUGUCUUAUUCAUUUCCUUUCCUCCUCUCUCUCGUGAUCUCGUCCCGCUCCCCAUUCGGAGAAAGAUUGCCAUUUGUGUAGGAGCAAAGCUGAAACAAACGAACCAACGUCGUCGUGUACCGUUGUUUUUCACAACUCCGACGUGACAGCCGUGCCUUGCAUCUUGCACAUCCUUUUCCUUUGCUCGUGCCCACAGAAAAGGUAGUACGAAAAAUCUCGUGGGCCGUGGGCUAGUCUUUGUGUGGUGUGGGCCAUUACGAAAAAGAUGAGCCAACUUUUUUAUACGCUUAAGCAACAUCAUUAUGAGGCGCCAAAAGUACGAAGCUCUGCUGCUGCGCCAUACGUGCAGCGGGGUUAACGGCAAUAAUUAGCCAUCAAGCGCGGCUGCGCCCCGGACGGUACUUGUUCGGUCAAAGUAGGGCGCGGCGUGCCCACUGACACCAGCACCUGGGUCCCAGACGCGCGGGCCCGCCUGCCGUGUGGGCCGGCCCAUGGGGGCUCAGAUAAGCCAACCCACUGACUGACUGACUGGGUGAUCAAUGGCUAUCUGACGGACAGCAGCGACUCCCUCCUUGUGACGAUGAUGAUGAUGAUGGUGAUCUGGGCUUGACUCAUCAGCGGAAAAGAAUUGCUUGUUUUUAGGCCAUCUUUUCUUCCUUGCGUGUGUGUGUGUUGGGAACUCAACCGGAAGCUUGUCAAAACCGAGCCCUUUUUCUUUUCUUCUAGUAUUAUUUUAGCAUAUGUUUUGUGUUUAGGUCUCCAGUGCACAUGGAUUUCUUGUCUCUUUUCUGCGGUGCAGGGAAGAAAAGAGGUGAGGUGAGGUGAUGACUGACGCGUCCUCCUCCUGUCCUUUGGCUGUGACAGGGCAGGGCAGGGCAGUCAGGGAUAUGUAUGCUCGGAUUGAGACUUGCAAAGCACUCUUUCAGAAGAGGCUCCAGUGCAGGUCUGUAAUCGUAAGUACAAGGUUUCUCCCGGCCCCGGUCUCCUCUGCUCCUUUGACCAUUUGUCAUGCUUUACGGAUGCUCAGGUCUAAUCUUUGAUUUUACGAUGAACAACUGAGGUUUGUUUUCAUUUUUCGUACUGUUGGGGAGCAUGCAUGCGAUAUGAUACUAGUACUAUCUAAACUGGACGGCUCCAGGGAAAUACCAUGUUAACUGUAGUCUGCAGAAGGUCCAGGGAAUGUACUAUACGUUAAGUCCGUUUUUGAACGUAAACAUACCAGCUAUACGUACGUACAUUGUGAUAAACAAACAGCUUGUCUAAUGGUUGAGUGUACGUGCGCGACUGUUUUGUGCGUACCACAUGAUUCGAUUUCGAGCAUGCCUCGUUGCAUCAUGCAACGCACCGGCCAGAAGCGGGCAACCACUAACCUUUGCUCUCGUGGAAACUGACCACCCCCGUGUCAGAAAAUCACAAACUCGUCAUCAAAUCUACCGCCUCGUCUGCCUGCCUGCCUCCAACCCUACACUUUGCUCCUCCCAAUCUUUGCUCUCUCCCACAUUGCACACCCACCACGAGCAGAAGAAGGAGCCCAGCGCAGCGCCAUUAUCCUCACCGGUGAGUGCCGGCCAGGAGCGCGCACUGAACACUGAUGAGCGGCACAUGCCGUGUUCCCAAGCGAGCAAGCGGUAGGGUGGAGCGUACGUGUGUCCAGACCAGACCUCGCUCGCCGCUGCAUCUGCAUGCACUCCAUGAUGAGUAGUCAAAGACGGGGUCAGCACAGCACAGAGCGUCAGGUACGGCGCAGGUGGCACGUACAGGAAGGAAACCAAACCAGCUCCCCCCACGUAGUGAAUGCGGUGCGCGAGGCCGGCUUCCCGCUUCCCGUCAGUCAGUGAGAUGCAGAGACGCAUGGCAUAUGUGGCGAGUACGAGUACGAUGGCCUGUGUCGAUACGUACGUGCCCUCCGUGCCUGCGACGGCCCUGUGCGGCAGCGUGCACGGGGCUGCCCGCUCCCUGCGGCCAGGCAUCCUUGCAUGCAUGCAUGCAUGCUCGUUCAGUGCGCAGGGAGCGCGUUGUGUGCCGCACGCAUGCACGGCCGGUCGGCCUGCCGUCCCGUUCAUCGGCUCCUGCUGCCGCCUAGUACGUCGCAGCGCUGCACGUUGUCAGUAGUAAAUGGGAGAUGCCCCGGUAGGUGCAGCAACUUGCAAGGACGGCUUUGCUAUUUCAGGUUCGCUGGCGAUACGUACCCCCGUGUGGCCGUGGCCGUUUGCCGCUAGAGGAGGAUCGCUACGAAACGAUCGGCGUGCCCCGUGAAAAGAGACGCAACGUGACGCUCGGAUCGGACCGGAGGUACUGUAUUUGUAUCUGCGUGCUCCGACGUUGCCGGCGCGCACGGCCAGCGGACACCGCAUGCAUGCGCCCGGUUCGUCAGUGAAAUAUGAGCCCGUGCGAUAGGACGAUGGAGGUCGAUCUGGGUCGAGUGGGGGUCGGAGUGGGACGGUGGGGCUAGUGCAGGACACAUCGCGUAGAAGCACUUGAUAGAAGCUUUUGGCUUUGAAGCCGGAAGCCGGAAGCUGGCUAGAAUCCCAACCAAACACGCGCGCAGAGGGAGCACGAGGGGGCGGACCAGCGUGCGGCAGGGUUGAACAGUGCGCGUGCACAGCGGAACCGUUCCGGCGCAAUAAUUGCCUUGCCCUGCUCAGGUCGGCAUGCCGGCCGGCCGGAGAGCGUGGAGGCCGACGGUCAAGGCUCAAGAGACAAGAGAGACCUUCCCCUUGCUCUCGUCGAAAGAACCGGCCCAGCCCAGCCCAGCCCGUCCUGGGAGGGACGCACACAUGCAUGCGUAGGCGUAGGCGUAGCGUAGCACCGGCCGCCGGGAGGGAAGCGAGCGGCAGCGGUGGUGGCAUCAGGAGGCAGCACGCAGCAGCCCCUUUCCAGCCCCGGCUGCCGGGUCAGGGCAGGUACGGUACGUGUGCGGACGACGCUGGGCGCUGGCGAGUAGCACAUGCAGGAUGCAGCAGUGGGGCGGUCGGAAAGGCUGGCGCAUGCAGGCAAAGCAGGGGCGCGUCCAGGCAGCGUGACAGUACGACGAGACGACCGCCGGUUUGAAAGCGGUGGGGGGUGGCAGGCCAGGCACAUUCACUGCUACCGCCCCACGGGCAGACCAAAGCAAAGAAACCCCCUCCCUUCCUUCCUUUCCCUGCACACACACGACACACGCGCGCCUCCUCCGCGGUGACGGAACAACACGAGGCGAGUGGGCCGGCUAGGGAGCGAGGAACGAGUUCAGUGCAGUGUUGUAAGCGCUCUUUUUUUUUCGAAGAGAGUAGUACUGCGUAUCCUCUAUCUAGAGGCUUGGUCUUUGCAUCAAAAGGAGUCCAACGUAGGACGGGUUCAAAUCGGUCUCUCUGUUUAGGAUGCAUGGCAGGAGGCUACCUGACUCGAGACGCUUCUUUCUAGGCCUUUUUCUUUGCUUUGACUGGGACAUUGUAAAACGGCUCUGCCCAAACGUAGUCAAUGGCGCUGUGCCAUCGCAGCAAGGAGAGACAGGCAGCCGGCAAGAAUCAGGCCUACAGGCAGCAAUAAACUCAACCCAGCAACCGGUAACUGAGACCUGACGAGCCAGUAAAUUAACUUGGCUUACAAGAGAUUUGGAAUUUCAUCAUGGCAGGCCUGCAUCGUCUUGCCGUCUUCAUCAGCCUUCAAACCAGACUAUCCACAUUCGCAUCAGACGGCGGAUUCGGACAGGGCCAAUCAGGAUGGCAUCUUGCAACAGUUGAGACUGCUACAGCGUAGUACAGGAAUCUGAACAAAAAACCGAUGUCAAACUAGUACAACAUAAUUUAAAGCUGGUGAAAGAUGGCUAGCCAGAAAAACAAUAAAACUGAUGGGCAAUGUUAGUAUAGGGAAUUUUCUGUCACCUCAUUGGCAACAUAGGAUUUGUGUUGUUUUUGGGGAAGAAUGAAAGUCUACAGCCAAGGCUACAAACCUAAUAAAGCUACGAAUGCCAACAAAGGCUUUUUUUUUCUCCCUUGUAACGGUUAUAUCUGCGAGAGGGUAAAGUAGUGAUACACAACCUUACAGUACAAAGAGCAAAAUUUAAGUUUAGCACCUUGGAAAAUUAUGUCGCUGAUAACACAGUCAAAUCUUCCGCAAAAAAAAAAAGAUAACACAGUCAAAUCGUCAGGGGAGAAACUCAGUCUUUCCGAUAAAAAGAGAGAGCUUCCCGCAAAAUUUUUUUUGAUAAAAACAGAGAACUAUGAACAUUUCUUUGGAUAAUCAUCUCUGUGGAACACUGAAGCAUAAGUUUCUAAAGAUAUAUGGUCUCGAGUUUGGCCCAUCUAGCACAAUUAUUUCUCUCUUCUUUCUAUCACAUAUGUCCAUGAUUUGCGACACGAGGACGGAUUGAUGUGAAUUCAAAUUUAGUGAAAAGUGUAUAUUUCAUGUUAAAUUUAGCGUUUAUCAAUAUCGAUGAAUAUGUAGCUGAAAUGUUUUUAAAAAUCAUUUUGUCGUAUUGUCAGCAAUGAAAUUAAGAUUUUAGUAAGUAAUAGAAAUAGGUCAAAAAAUUUAACACGCUUAAUAAGGUAUAAAUAGUAUGGCUCACGUUGUUCCUAAUUUGGCAUUAUCCUUGUUGUUGUGUGUUCGAAUCCCACAAUUCUUCAAUUAUUUGAUUGAUCGGUAUAACUUCCCCUCAUAGCCACGCCUUUUUCGUUCUAUCAUCGGUUCUCUCCCCCUCAUAGGUACAAAUCUCCCUUUUCAUUAAAUUUUCACGAUUGAAAUUGACUCUUGGGGCAUCUUACUAAUUUUAGAUUGCACAUGUAUAUAAAUUGAUGAAAUAAGGUAUAAGGUAGUGAUCUCGCAUUAUUAAAUAGGUAAGCAAAUUCUAAUUUUUGAGCUAGCUCACUUGGAUAGCGCCUUUGGGAUUGGUUGGCAGAUCGGGGGUUCGAACCCUUACCUGAGCCAAAUAUAUUUUUGCCUCCUUGUUUGGGCAGCCUGGGCCUGGCCACGGUUCAAAGGGCUAGCUUCGUCGUGCCUUAUUUUAUUUUUACUAGUACAAAUGCCCGUGCGUUACAGCGGGCAAAAAAAAAAUACAGAACCUCCUUAUUAUGCCAUUAUGCGGCAUUAAUUGUAAUAAAUAUGUAUAAUAAUGUUAAAUGUUUUCUUUUAAAAUAUUGGGUAGAAUUAUCAUCGACGGACCACACGGAGCCAUUGCAAUAUAGUAUACACCUGUAUUAGAUGGCUCGGCGCUGAAACAAUGCACGCCUUCUGCUGAGCAAAACUGCCACACUGAAGAAUCAGGGCACGGGGUUUCUCCUACUACAACCGAGGAUGAUGCAGCUGCGAUGGCUACAGCAUGUAUCGAAAGUGAAGUGGGCGUCGGCAAGGUGAGUUCUGAAUUUAUUUGUUGUGCAGAUGGGUUUAAUAUCAAUAUUAGCAACAUAGAGUUUGUACGGAGGAUCUUAAAUAUUGUGUUUGAAGCAGGAGGAGGUAAGGUGCAGGAAGAAUCUGCAAGCGUCGAACAUACCUAAUCCAGGGCACGACUCACUUGACCCUGCAGACCUCACUUGACCGGCUUGAGCGAGAGAGCCGUCUGUCGCCCCGCAUGCUCGUUGAGCCCCUCGAUCCAGAUUGAUUUGGAGGAGACCUGAUGCGUUGACCCAUCCUCCUGCAGUGCCCGAGGGCAACGUCGGCUACCUGCCUAGCUGCCGCCGCGCGUGAGGGCAGCGCCGGCUCCACGCCAUGGCCGUCACACCUGGCCCUCUCCUCCACCUCCAGCCUCCUCUCGCGCCCGAGAGGAUCUCUCACGCCUGGCCCUCUCCUCCACCUCCAGCCUCCUCUCGCGCCCGAGUGGAUCUCCCGAGCUAGUCCCGUCCGCCUCCGGCCGCCACCGGCAAGCAGAGCCGCCGUCCGUGCGCUCCGGCCAGCUCAGACCACCGCGUCCUCGGCUUGGCCACAUCAGCCGCCCCUCUUUACUUUCCCGUCGGUCUUUGCUUCCUGCACGAGCCCCUGCCGUCCGUGCGCUCCGGCCAGCUCCCCGUCCCGCCCGAGACCGCCUCGAGUCUUCCAACCGAGGCCUCCGCUGAGACCAGCCUAACAUGGGUCUCCUGCCCGCGCCGGCGCGUGCCCGGAGACGCGGGGUGGUGAGCCAGUCCAAUAAGAUCAUAAUUUCUAAUGAAUGCGAUGGUUUUUACGUAAAAAAACGAAACGUUUUCACUUAAACAGGGACCGCGGGUUCAAUUACCAGAAAGAACAUGGAUCUUUUUGUAAAACUGCAGCAAAAGGCCCGUGCGUUGCAACGGGAGAAAAAAUACCAUACGCUUUUAAUCUUUUUAUAAUAAUUUUGAUUUAUUAAAAUAAUGAUGAAGCGCAGGUUGAAUAAUAAAAAUUAUAGGGGCUUUUUUAUAAAAAUGUCACGGUGGGUUUUCCAACGGAAGCAAUAGCCUCUUUAUUAUUAGGUAAAGAUAUAUGUGAUGGCCAGUAAUAGUAUAGCAGGUCAUGAUUUUUUAUAUAAAAUGUGAUGACAUAUCCCAGAUAUCAACCCUUUUAUUAGUAUGUAGAGAUAUGACACUCAAAUUACAUUCAAGACAAUGAAACCAAAAAGGCUGCAAAUUAAUACCUUCAUAAAAGGCCUAUCCGAGCCAAGAAAGAUCCAAUGAAGUCUCUCUUAAAAUUAAGAAAACUGACGUCAAGUAGUGACUCUAGGACAUGACAAUGGUGUGACUAAACGCUUGCGUGUUCAUGUCCUCUAAGCGUAAGCAUUAACAAAAGCACAACUCACUACACAAUGACACUAGGAGGUACCACCAAACAUGGACAUAAUAAACGAACACUACAUACGAACAUAUCACAACACUAGCUUAAAUAGAUGAUCUAGUUCAACACAUCAGCUCAAAUCAUAGCAAGGAGUUCAACAAAGUAGUAAACAUACUUGCAUAGUAGCAUACUACACAUCAAGCAUACCACCAAUCUAUCCAUCAUCACUACCUAUAAUUCCUUGUUGACAUGAAAACAACUCCUAGCAUGCUUCAAAUCCAUGACCACUAGCCACGAGAACAUCACACUCACGCAGAUCGACGGUGUACAAUGCUUACAGAUCUAACCCUACCACAUGCUCAUAGAUCCAGCUAGAACUAGUAGAGAGAAGGGGUGAUUGAAACCACAAAUUCCAUCGAAACACCCGUGAAGGAGGCGCUGAACAAGUUGGAGAAGAUAAGAAGUUGAUUCGUCGCCACCGCCAACCGGUGGCCGAAGUAGUAGCGUGGCUUACCUCGUCGUCAUUGUUGAUCCACACUAGAACGAAAACUCGAGAGGGGGGUACUGGUGAAGGGUGUUUUGGUAGAUGUGUGCGCAUUCAUAACGCCAAUUUCUCCGGUCGUUUUUUUUGUAGAUGUGUGCGAGCUCCUGCUAUCUCUGUGAACACAAGAGGUGAGCGCCGUGUUCCCAUCCGCUGCAUCGCUCAAGCCUACCUCGUUGGAAACGACCAAUUCAAUCGUUCCUAACACACCUCGCUCGAGAGUACUUUAUGAUUCAUGCGGAUCAAAAUUUGUAUGCAUGUGAGGCAACCAAACAACCCACUUUCUCCCUCGCGGGCCUGGCUGAGCUUAAUGCGAGCAACCAAAACAUGUCCUUAAGGCGAGCAUAGAAAAACGAUAACAAACCUGGGUAUUUGUGCAUUCGUAGCAAGGCGUGUGCGCAUUCAUAAAUUAAACAAAUGUUCAUGUUUUUCUUAAACUGUACAGACUGUCAAAAAAUGUUUGACUUUUCAAAAUGUUCCCACAAAUUCAAAAAAACGUUUGUGAUUUUUAGAUUUUGAAAAAUUCCCAUUAUCAAACUUGUUUUGAACUUAAAAAAUGUUUGCAUUUUCCCGAAAUAUUCAAGAAUUUUCUAAAAUAAAAUGAUUUUUAAAAAACAUACAUAUAUACCGAAAAAUGUUUGCAUUUGCAAACUGUGUUGAGAAUUUCCAAAAAAAUCCUUUCUAAAAGUAAUUCCAGAACCAAAAAAAUAUUUGCACUUCCAAAUUUUGUUUGGAGUUUCAAACAAUGUUCAUGUGUUCCAAAAAAGUUUCAAGUUUUACAAAAAAUACUCACGAAAAAUUCCAUUUUUAUAUAUAUAUUAUAGGAGGCAAAGAGGUUUGUGCUACCGAUACAUAUUAGACUUUUCAAACGAAUCAAAAUUUAAUAAUGUUCAUGUUGCAAAAUUAUUCAUUUAUAAAAAGAAGUGUUUUGAAGGUUAAAAAAUAUGCCUCAAAUGUGCCUCCUCGACUCGCUUCGUUGACAAGUUUUGUGAAGUUGAUCUAUUGAGAAGGUGACACCGGCCAUAAAGAAGCUGAACAAUUGACUUAUUGCAAAAAAAUACGACUUCAUAAAAAGUUUAGAAAAUAGAAAAAAUUAUGUAUUUCAAAAAAAUUCACAAUUCGAAAUAGGACGAGUUCAAUUUUUUUCAUGAAUUUGAAAAACCUCACAGAUUUGGAUAAGAUUUGCAAUUCUGAAUUUGAAAGAAAGUUCAUAGAUUUUGGAAAACUGCACAAAUUUGUAAUUGCCCCUAACAGGUCGCAGAUUUGGAAAAAGUUCACAAUUAUUUAUUUGAAAUUGGUAAUGGAUUUGGGCGCAAAUAUGAAAAGUUUCAAGAAUGAGAGAAAAAGAUCACGGAUUUGAGAAAAACGGAAUAGAUAAAUAUAUUUUAAAGAAUACUUCACUAAUUUAAAAAUAUUCAAAAGAACAAAACAAUAGGAAAAAUAAGAAAAAUAAUAUAACCAAAAAAAUUCAAAGAAAAAAAGAGCAAGAAAGGUACAAAAUGACCAGCAAACACACGCAAAAUGGUAAAACGUAUAAACAAUGAAACAAAAGCGUGUAGUAUCUUCCUAAUACUGGAAAUGGCAGAAGGUUAGGAACGCGCCUGAGUGCGGCCUAUCAAUAAUGAAGUAAACGGCGUAAGAGUGCAGAAUAGGAAAUUUUCUAUGGGUCAUCCUAAUUAUUUUUCACUUUAUUUUUUCCUUUUCUUUUUACUUUCUUUUUUUAUGUUUUCUAUAAUUUAAAUUAUUAAGAAAUAUUCAACGAAAAUUUGCUGUUUAAAAUAUUAGUCUAUGUGAUACAAAAAUUCCUGAGGGAGUGCGGCACAAAACUAUAUGUCGCUGGCCCAUUCAUGAGUCUCUCACAUCUCCCAUCGUUUCUCAUUAUUUUUUCAUAAGUUUUUUAUUUUUUGUUUAUAAAAUGUACAUCACGUAUUUAAAAAAAAUCAGCAUUGUUUGGAAAAACAUUCGUCGUAUUAAAUAAAGUUAAACAUGUAUUUUAAAUCUUGAACAUCUAUUAAAAUAUAUUUAAAAAUAUUCAUGGCUAUUCAUUAUUUAAAUAAUAUUUAAAAAGAAUUCGCAUGUACUCGAAAAAAUGUUCAACAUUAUUUGAGAGGAGGCAUGGCGUAUUUUAAAACAAGUUCAACGUAUAUUUUCAAAAAGUUCACAUAAAAAAUAUUGUAUAGAAGAUAUUCAAACAUUUAUAUUUUUUAAAGUAAAAAAAAUAAAAAAGAACAAAGUAAUAAAAUCGAUAAAAGAAAUUAACCAUGUUAGUUGGAACAUGCGUUCAUGUCAUGUCGUUGAUAGCCAAGCGCUUUGUACUACUUGCUGUGGGCGAUAUAUUGUCUUCGACGUGCACAUUUAGGCAUUGAGUAUUCCGGACGGCAUCACACGUGUAUUGCCCCAUGGAGGGACGAUUCCAAGGGGGGCGAGGAGACCCCCCUCCCCCCGUAUGAUCACGUUGCCCUUUGAUAGCGAUCAGGUAUUAGCAGAUUUUUUAUGUGGCCGCACACGAUUUCUGGUUGUCUCCCUCCUCCCUCCCAUAGUGAAAGCACAUGUAUAUAUCAGGUAGUGAUCAUCACAUCAAAGCCCAUGUAUAUUCACGUAGUGAUUGCAGCAGGCAGCAGGUCAAAGGCCCAAAUAUUAGGAAAAGCAUAAAAAGAAAAACAGCCCACCCUGAAAGAGAAGGACCCAGGCUCGCGCACGCCGCAUGUACACGGCGUCCCAUCUCCUUAGACCCUGUUUGGAACCAUAAUAGAUUAUGAUAAUCUGGAUUAUGAAGAUAGAUUAUAUAAUCUGGUUAUAAAUAUAAUCUAGGUGGUCAUGUUUGGAGGCAAGAUUAUAUAAGCUGUAAUUCAGGUUUUACAUUGCAUAAUGACCUGUCUGCCCUCUAGUUUUUUUUAAAGAGGAGGGUGGCGGUGGUAAAAAUGUAAUUAUCUCCAACUUUACAAGGGUAAUGGGUCAUUAGCAAUCCAUAAUCUGAUUUUAGCUGGUAUAGAGUAGAAUAUGAGUUUUUAAUAAUCUAUCCAUCUAGUUUUUAUAAUCUAUACCAUAAGCUGUCAUGUUUGAAGACAGAAUAAAUUAUAAAAACUGAAUUAUAUAAUCUGGGUGGUUCCAAACAGGGCCUUAGUCACUCGUUUUCCAUCUGCUUGUUCCUGCGAUUAGAAAACCUACUCGACACCAGAGGCAUUGUCGUCACUGCCACCACCGCCUAGUAGAUCAUAUACCACCGAGAAGGAAAGGCAACAGGCAAGCUCCGUCCCGAGAUCCAGAGGCACAUUCCGGCCGGCCGACCGUACGAACGAAUGACCAAACGAGAAAAAAGGGUUAGUUUGUUUUUCAGUGUGAGAUGAGUUUGCGUCUAUGUAAUCAUAGAACUGCCUACAAAUUUUUAGUUUGAGAUGAGUUUCUAUAUGCCUCCAUGGUACGAACCCUCUCAUCAACUUCAAAUCUUUUAUUUUUUUGUCUAAUAUGAAUGAUCGUUGAUUGAUGGACAUGAAAAUACAAUUCGAAUCAAUUUUUUAGCACAGUGUAUCAUUUAUAUAUAUAUAUAUAUAUUCGUCAUCCAGGGUGCACAAUAAAUUAUUCCUCACCUAGGUAAUCUUACAACCGUUUUAUAAAUAAAGUACACUUGGAAUGACAAUAGUUACAUUAAUAUUGAAUCAUUACGAUGUAAAAAAAUAAAAUAUAUAGGUCAUAAGCCAUGAAGUCCGAGAUAGGAUCCAUGUAUGAGAACAAAGUGUGGACUUUGGAGAUACUACCUGAGGGCCGCAAGGCUAUUCAGAACAAAUGGAUCUUUAAGAAGAAGACGGACGCUGACGGCAAUGUGACCGUUUAUAAAGCUCGACUUGUGGCAAAGGGUUUUUCACAAGUUCCAGGAGUUGACUACGAUGAGACUUUCUCACCCGUAGCGAUGCUUAAGUCCGUCAGAAUCAUGUUAGCAAUAGCUGCAUUUUUCGAUUAUGAAAUCUGACAGAUGGAUGUCAAAANNNNNNNNNNNNNNNNNNNNNNNNNNNNNNNNNNNNNNNNNNNNNNNNNNNNNNNNNNNNNNNNNNNNNNNNNNNNNNNNNNNNNNNNNNNNNNNNNNNNNNNNNNNNNNNNNNNNNNNNNNNNNNNNNNNNNNNNNNNNNNNNNNNNNNNNNNNNNNNNNNNNNNNNNNNUGCAACCCGAAGGUUUUAUCGAUCCUAAGAAUGCUAACAAGGUGCGCAAGCUCCAGCGAUCCAUUUAUGGACUGGUGCAAGCAUCUCGGAGUUGGAACAAACGCUUUGAUGAGGUGAUCAAAGCAUUUGGGUUUAUACAAGUGGUUGGAGAAUCUUGUAUUUACAAGAAAGUGAGUGGGAGCUCUGUCGCGUUUCUAAUAUUAUAUGUNNNNNNNNNNNNNNNNNNNNNNNNNNNNNNNCUUUGAUGAGGUGAUCAAAGCAUUUGGGUUUAUACAAGUGGUUGGAGAAUCUUGUAUUUACAAGAAAGUGAGUGGGAGCUCUGUCGCGUUUCUAAUAUUAUAUGUGGAUGACAUAUUACUGAUUGGAAACAACGUAGAGCUUUUGGAGAGCAUAAAAGGUUACUUGAAUAAAAGUUUCUCUAUGAAGGACCUAGGAGAAGCUGCUUACAUUCUAGGCAUUAAGAUCUAUAGGGAUAGAUCAAAACGCCUGAUAGGACUUUCACAAAGUACAUACCUUGAUAAAGUUUUGAAAAGGUUCAAAAUGGAACAGUCCAAGAAAGGGUUCUUGCCAGUUUUACAAGGUACAAGAUUGAGUAAGACUCAGUGCCCAGCAACUGAUGAAGAUAGAGAGCAUAUGCGCUCCGUCCCCUAUGCUUCAGCCAUAGGUUCUAUCAUGUAUGCGAUGAUGUGCACUAGACCGGAUGUUAGCCUGGCCAUAAGUAUGGCAGGUAGGUUCGAGAGUAAUCCAGGAGUGNNNNNNNNNNNNNNNNNNNNNNNNNNNNNNNNNNNNNNNNNNNNNNNNNNNNNNNNNNNNNNNNNNNNNNNNNNNNNNNNNNNNNNNNNNNNNNNNNNNNCCUCCCAAGCUCCAUUGUUGCUCCCUAAGCUCAAAAGUGCCCGAUCUCUCUCCCUAGCCAAUCAAACUUGUUGAUUUCCUAGGGAUUGGUUGAGAAGACCUAGAUCUACACUUCCACCAAGAGAAAAUUGAUUCCCCCCACUAAUGCCUUGCGGAUCUUGUUACUCUUCGGUGUUUGAGCACCCUAGACGGUUGAGGUCACCUCGGAGCCAAAUUCCAUUGUGGUGAAGCUCCGUGGUCUUGUUGGGAGCCUCCAAGCUUUGUGUGGAGUUUGCCCCAACCUUGUUUGUAAAGGUUCGGUCGCCGCCUUCAAGGGCACCUAUAGUGGAAUCACGGUACCUUGCAUUGUGUGAGGGCGUGAGGAGAAUACGGUGGCCCUAGUGGCUUAUUGGGGAGCAUUGUGCCUCCACACCACUCUAAUGGAGACGUACUUCCUGUCAAAGGGAAGGAACUUCGGUAACACCUCCUCGUCUUCAUUGGUUCCACUUGCGGUUAUCUCUAACCUUUACAUUGUGUAUGCUUUUGUUGUCUACUAUCUCUUACUUGCCUUAGUACUUUUAGUUGGUAGCAUCAUAUAGGUUCACCUCCUUGUUGUCAUUUUAGAGAACAUUUAUGUUGCUAACCCUAACUUGCUAAGAUAAAUUAAAAAGUGGUCGUUGCCUAUUCCCCCCCCCCCCCCNNNNNNNNNNNNNNNNNNNNNNNNNNNNNNNNNNNNNNNNNNNNNNNNNNNNNNNNNNNNNNNNNNNNNNNNNNNNNNNNNNNNNNNNNNNNNNNNNNNNGCUGUUAUCUGAAAACAGAACAAAUUCCUCGGACAUCCGGCUUCCUCCGGACGUCCGAGGGCCGGACGACCGACUGCUUCGGAAAUCCAGAAUCCUAUACCAGAGAAAUCAAAGCCAUAUAACUCGGACUUCCACCUCCCUCCGGACGUCCGAGGGCCGGACGUCCGACCUCCUUCGGAAAUCCGGAAUCUCACACCAGAGAAGUUUGAGUCGAACAACUCGGACUUUCGGCUUCCUCCGGACGUCCGAUCCCUGUUCAACUACACAGUGAUUCUAGAUAUAUAUACAUCUCUCGGACGAACGACCCCUGUCGGACGUCCGACACCUUGUGGGCAUCCGGACAUUUGAGAAACUGUCGGAUGUCCGACCACUGCCAGACUCAAGUGCCCCCAACGGCUGUUUUACUCUUCCCACUAUAUAUACCCUCCUCCCACUUCGUGAGAGGGNGUGUCCAUCUUGGUAGACCGUGUUGUUGAUACACGUUGCAGUGCCUAGUGCAUUUAGGAUUUGUGCUUGACAAGUAUCCUCUUAGUUUAUUUCCGCAUUAGGUUUAAGCCAAAUCCGAAGAAGUUUUUAAAUAGCCUAUUCCCNNNNNNNNNNNNNNNNNNNNNNNNNNNNNNNNNNNNNNNNNNNNNNNNNNNNNNNNNNNNNNNNNNNNNNNNNNNNNNNNNNNNNNNNNNNNNNNNNNNNCCCACUUCGUGAGAGGGUGCCCAACACAGCCAUAUCCUCAUAAGAACACAUUUCUACCUCACACACAUUUGCUUACACCAAAUCUUAGAUCCCAAGAGCAUUUGUGAUCCCCUUUGAGAGUUCUUCCAAUCAAAAGAUAGAUCGUCUCCCUCUCCUUCUCUCAACCCAAGCUAUUUGAGAUUUGAGCAAGUUUUGAGCAUUCCCCGUGAUCUUGUUACUCUUGGAGGUUGGAGACUCCUAGGCGGUAGGAGUUCUUUGGAGAGGAAUCAAUCCGUGUGAUUACCCCCCGGAUAAGUUUGUGAGGGUUUGGAAGCCACCUCAAAGGCUUACCACUAGUGGUUGGGAAACGCCUUCGUGGUGUUAUCUCAAAGGGAGAAUAGGGUGAGCCUUUGUGGCGUUGGUGUGCCUUUGUGGUAACAUCCACCUCUCUAACGGUGACUAGCUUCCCUCCAAGGAAGUGAACAUCAGGAUACAUCUUCGUCUCAGUGACCUUGGUUAUCCUUAACCCUAACUCCUUACUUGUGGUUUACUUGUGUUACUUGAGCAUACAUACAUUGCAUAUUGUUUGUGCUCAUUAUAUUGUGUUGGCUAUUUCUUGUACCAGAUUAAUCAUUCAAGCAUACCCUCUAUAUCCACACGUUCACACUUGCAGCUUUUGAUAUAUCGUGGGCUAUAGUGUGAUCUAGUAUCUUGUGUCGUUCACCUACUUGUCGUGUGAUAUAGCUCAAGUAAGUUUGUGUAACUUACUUGUGCUUGUUAGUAACUGUAUUGUGUCCAUCUUGGUAGANNNNNNNNNNNNNNNNNNNNNNNNNNNNNNNNNNNNNNNNNNNNNNNNNNNNNNNNNNNNNNNNNNNNNNNNNNNNNNNNNNNNNNNNNNNNNNNNNNNNCACUCCUGGAUUACUCUGGAACCUACCUGCCAUACUUAUGGCCAGGCUAACAUCCGGUCUAGUGCACAGCAUCGCAUACAUGAUAGAACCUAUGGCUGAAGCAUAGGGGACGGAGCGCAUAUGCUCUCUAUCUUCAUCAGUUGCUGGGCACUGAGUCUUACUCAAUCUCGUACCUUGUAACACUGGCAAGAACCCUUUCUUGGACUGUUCCAUUUUGAACCUCUUCAAAACUUUAUCAAGGUAUGUGCUUUGUGAAAGUCCUAUCAGGCGUUUUGAUCUAUCCCUAUAGAUCUUAAUGCCUAGAAUGUAAGCACCUUCUCCUAGGUCCUUCAUAGAGAAACUUUUAUUCAAGUAACCUUUUAUGCUCUCCAAAAGCUCUACGUUGUUCCCAAUCAGUAAUAUGUCAUCCACAUAUAAUAUUAGAAAUGCCACAGAGCUCCCACUCACUUUCUUGUAAAUACAAGAUUCUCCAACCACUUGUAUAAACCCAAAUGCUUUGAUCACCUCAUCAAAGNNNNNNNNNNNNNNNNNNNNNNNNNNNNNNNNNNNNNNNNNNNNNNNNNGCCACAGAGCUCCCACUCACUUUCUUGUAAAUACAAGAUUCUCCAACCACUUGUAUAAACCCAAAUGCUUUGAUCACCUCAUCAAAGUGUUUGUUCCAACUCCGAGAUGCUUGCAACAGUCCAUAAAUGGAUCGCUGGAGCUUGCACACCUUGUUAACAUUUUUAGGAUCGACAAAACCUUCGGGUUGCAUCAUAUACAACUCUUCCUUAAGGAAACCGUUAAGGAACGCCGUUUUGACAUCCAUCUGCCAGAUUUCAUAAUCGAAAAAUGCAGCUAUUGCUAACAUGAUUCUGACGGACUUAAGCAUCGCUAUGGGUGAGAAGGUCUCAUCGUAGUCAACUCCUGGAACUUGUGAAAAACCCUUUGCCACAAGUCGAGCUUUAUAAACGGUCACAUUACCGUCAGCGUCCGUCUUNNNNNNNNNNNNNNNNNNNNNNNNNNNNNNNNNNNNNNNNNNNNNNNNNNNNNNNNNNNNNNNNNNNNNNNNNNNNNNNNNNNNNNNNNNNNNNNNNNNNNNNNNNNNNNNNNNNNNNNNNNNNNNNNNNNNNNNNNNNNNNNNNNNNNNNNNNNNNNNNNNNNNNNNNNNNNNNNNNNNNNNNNNNNNNNNNNNNNNNNNNNNNNNNNNNNNNNNNNNNNNNNNNNNNNNNNNNNNNNNNNNNNNNNNNNNNNNNNNNNNNNNNNNNNNNNNNNNNNNNNNNNNNNNNNNNNNNNNNNNNNNNNNNNNNNNNNNNNNNNNNNNNNNNNNNNNNNNNNNNNNNNNNNNNNNNNNNNUACCACUCUGGAGCAGCGCGUGAUCUCGUCGACCUGCGUGGUUCAACAGAAACUUGAACUGGAGUUUCAUGAUCAUCAUCAUUAACUUCCUCCUCUACCGGCGUCGCAACGACAGAGGUUUCCCCCUGCCCUGCGCCACCAUCCAGAGGGAUGAGAGGUUCGACAAUUUCGUCAAGUUCUAUCUUCCUCCCACUCAAUUCUCUCGAGAGAAACUCCUUCUCGAGAAAAGUUCCGUUCUUAGCAACAAACACUUUGCCCUCGGUUUUGAGAUAGAAGGUGUACCCAACUGCCUCUUUUGGGUAACCUAUGAAGACGCACUUUUCCGCUUUGGGUUCCAGCUUUUCAGGCUGAAGCUUUUUGACAUAUGCAUCACAUCCCCAAACUUUAAGAAACGACAACUUUGGCCUUUUGCCAUACCACAGUUCGUAUGGUGUCGUCUCAACGGAUUUUGAUGGUGCCCUAUUUAAAGUGAAUGCAACUGUUUCUAAUGCAUAACCCCAAAAUGAUAACGGCAAAUCAGUAAGAGACAUCAUAGAUCGCACCAUCUCUAACAAAGUACGAUUACGACGUUCGGACACACCAUUACGCUGUGGUGUUCCAGGCGGUGUUAACUGCGAAACAAUUCCACAUUGUCUUAAGUGAGCACCAAACUCGAAACUCNNNNNNNNNNNNNNNNNNNNNNNNNNNNNNNNNNNNNNNNNNNNNNNNNNNNNNNNNNNNNNNNNNNNNNNNNNNNNNNNNNNNNNNNNNNNNNNNNNNNNNNNNNNNNNNNNNNNNNNNNNNNNNNNNNNNNNNNNNNNNNNNNNNNNNNNNNNNNNNNNNNNNNNNNNNNNNNNNNNNNNNNNNNNNNNUUCCACUUCACUCUGAAUUGCUUGAACUUUUCAAAUGUUUCAGACUUGUGCUUCAUCAAGUAGACAUAACCAUAUCUACUUAAAUUGUUAGUGAAGGUGAGAAAAUAACGAUAUCCGCCCCGUGCCUCCACGCUCAUUGGACCACACACAUCGGUAUGUAUGAUUUCCAACAAGUCACUUGCACGCUCCAUUGUUCCAGAGAACGGAGUCUUAGUCAUCUUGCCCAUGAGGCAUGGUUCGCACGUGUCAAGUGAAUCAAAGUCAAGUGACUCCAAAAGUCCAUCAGCAUGGAGUUUCUUCAUGCGCUUUAUACCAAUAUGACCCAAGCGGCAGUGCCACAAAAAUAUGGCGCUAUCAUUGUUUACUCUAACUCUUUUGGUCUCAAUGUUAUGUAUAUGCGUAUCGCUAUCAAGAUUCAAUAUGAACAAUCCUCUCACAUUCGGUGCAUGACCAUAAAAGAUGUUACUCAUAGAAAUAGAACAACCAUUAUUCUCUGACUUAAAAGAGUAACCGUCUCGCAAUAAACAAGAUCCAGAUAUAAUGUUCAUGCUCAACGCAGGCACUAAAUAACAAUGAUUUAAGUUCAUCACUAAUUCCGAUGGUAGCUGAAGUGACACUGUGCCGACGGCGAUUGCAUCAACCUUGGAACCGUUUCCUACACGCAUCGUCACUUCGUCUGUCGCCAGCCUUCGUCUAUUCCGCAGUUCCUGCUUCGAGUUGCAAAUGUGAGCAACAGAACCGGUAUCAAAUACCUAGGCACUACUACGAGAGCCGGUUAAGUAUACAUCAAUAACAUGUAUAUCAAAUAUACCUGAUUUUUCUUUGCCCGCCUUCUUAUCUGCCAGAUACUUGGGGCAAUUGCGCUUCCAGUGACCCAUACCCUUGCAAUAGAAGCACUCUGUUUCAGGCUUAGGUCCAGCUUUGGGUUUCUUCGGCGGAUUGGCAACAGGCUUGCCGCUCUUCUUCGAAUUGCCCUUCUUGCCUUUGCCGUUUCUCUUGAAACUAGUGGUCUUGCUCACCAUCAACACUUGAUGCUCUUUACGGAGUUCAGACUCUGCGACUUUCAGCAUCGCAAACAACUCGCCGGGAGACUUGUUCAUCCCUUGCAUGUUGUAGUUCAACACAAAGCCUUUAUAGCUUGGCGGCAGUGAUUGAAGGAUUCUGUCAGUGAUAGCUUCUUGCGGGAGUUCAAUCCCCAGUUCAGCUAGACGGUUCGAGUACCCAUACAUUUUGAGCACAUGUUCACUGACAGACGAGUUCUCCUCCAUCUUGCAAGCAUAGAAUUUAUCGGAGGUCUCAUACCUCUCGGUCCGGGCGUUCUUCUGAAAGAUAAACUCCAACUCCUGGAACAUCUCAAAUGCUCCAUGACGCUCAAAGCGACGUUGAAGUCCCGGUUCCAAGCCAUACAAGACUGCACAUUGAACUAUUGAGUAGUCUUCCUUACGUGCUAACCAAGCGUUCUUAACAUCCUGAUCAGCCGUAGCGGGUGGUUCAUCUCCUAGCGCAGCAUNNNNNNNNNNNNNNNNNNNNNNNNNNNNNNNNNNNNNNNNNNNNNNNNNNNNNNNNNNNNNNNNNNNNNNNNNNNNNNNNNNNNNNNNNNNNNNNNNNNNUUAAUGCUGCGCUAGGAAAUUAACCACACGCUACGGCUGAUCAGGAUGUUAAGAACGCUUGGUUAGCACGUAAGGAGGACUACUCAAUAGUUCAAUGUGCAGUCUUGUAUGGCUUAGAACCGGGACUUCAACGUUGCUUUGAGCGUCAUGGAGCAUUUGAGAUGUUCCAGGAGUUGGAGUUUAUCUUUCAGAAGAACUCCCGGAUCGAGAGGUAUGAGACCUCCGAUAAAUUCUAUGCUUGCAAGAUGGAGGAAAGCUCAUCUGUCAGUGAACAUGUGCUCAAAAUGUCUGGGUACUCAAACCGUCUAGCUGAGCUGGGGAUUGAACUCCCGCAAGAAGCUAUCACUAACAGAAUCCUUCAAUCACCGCCGCCAAGCUAUAAAGGCUUUGUGUUGAACUACAACAUGCAAGGGAUGAACAAGUCUCCCGGCGAGUUGUUUGCGAUGUUGAAAGUCGCAGAGUCUGAACUCCGUAAAGAGCAUCAAGUGUUGAUGGUGAAUAAGAUCACUAGUUUCAAGAGAAACGGCAAAGGCAAGAAGGGAAAUUCGAAGAAGAGAGGCAAGCCUGUUGCCAAUCCGCCGAAGAAACCCAAGGCUGGACCUAAGCCUGAAACGGAGUGCUACUAUUGCAAGGGUAUGGGUCACUGGAAGCGCAAUUGCCCCAAGUAUCUGGCAGAUAAGAAGGCGGGCAAAGAAAAAUCAGGUAUAUUUGAUAUACAUGUUAUUGAUGUGUACUUAACCGGCUCUCGUAGUAGUGCCUGGGUAUUCGAUACCGGUUCUGUUUCUCAUAUUUGCAACUCGAAACAGGAACUGCGGAAUAGACGAAGGCUGGCGAAAGAUGAAGUGACGAUGCGCGUAGGAAAUGGUUCCAAGGUUGAUGCAAUCGCCGUCGGCACAGUGUCACUUCAGCUACCGUCAAGAUUAGUGAUGAACUUAAAUCAUUGUUAUUUAGUGCCUGCGUUGAGCAUGAACAUUAUAUCUGGAUCUUGUUUAUUGCGAGACGGUUACUCUUUUAAGUCAGAGAAUAAUGGUUGUUCUAUUUCUAUGAGUAACAUCUUUUAUGGUCAUGCACCGAAUGUGAGAGGAUUGUUCAUAUUGAAUCUUGAUAGCGAUACGCAUAUACAUAACAUUGAGACCAAAAGAGUUAGAGUAAACAAUGAUAGCGCCAUAUUUUUGUGGCACUGCCGCUUGGGUCAUAUUGGUAUAAAGCGCAUGAAGAAACUCCAUGCUGAUGGACUUUUGGAGUCACUUGACUUUGAUUCACUUGACACGUGCGAACCAUGCCUCAUGGGCAAGAUGACUAAGAUUCCGUUCUCCGGAACAAUGGAGCGUGCAAGUGACUUAUUGGAAAUCAUACAUACCGAUGUGUGUGGUCCGAUGAGCGUAGAGGCACGCGGCGGAUAUCGUUAUUUUCUCACCUUCACUGACGAUUUGAGUAGGUAUGGCUAUGUCUACUUGAUGAAGCACAAGUCUGAAACAUUUGAAAAGUUCAAGCAAUUUCAGAGUGAAGUGGAANNNNNNNNNNNNNNNNNNNNNNNNNNNNNNNNNNNNNNNNNNNNNNNNNNNNNNNNNNNNNNNNNNNNNNNNNNNNNNNNNNNNNNNNNNNNNNNNNNNNNNNNNNNNNNNNNNNNNNNNNNNNNNNNNNNNNNNNNNNNNNNNNNNNNNNNNNNNNNNNNNNNNNNNNNNNNNNNNNNNNNNNNNNNNNNNNNGAGUUUCGAGUUUGGUGAUCACUUAAGAAAAUGUGGAAUUGUUUCACAGUUGACACCGCUUGGAACACCACAGCGUAAUGGUGUGUCCGAACGUCGUAAUCGUACUUUGUUAGAGAUGGUGCGAUCUAUGAUAUCUCUUACUGAUUUGCCGUUAUCAUUUUGGGGUUAUGCAUUAGAAACAGCUGCAUUCACUUUAAAUAGGGCACCAUCAAAAUCCGUUGAGACGACACCAUACGAACUGUGGUAUGGCAAAAGGCCAAAGUUGUCAUUUCUUAAAGUUUGGGGAUGUGAUGCUUAUGUGAAAAGCUUCAACCUGAAAAGCUGGAACCCAAAGCGGAAAAGUGCGUCUUCAUAGGUGACCCAAAAGAAACAGUUGGGUACACCUUCUAUCUCAAAUCCGAGGGCAAAGUGUUUGUUGCUAAGAACGGAGCUUUUCUCGAGAAGGAGUUUCUCUCGAGAGAAUUGAGUGGGAGGAAGAUAGAACUUGACGAGGUUGUCGAACCUCUCAUCCCUCUGGAUGGUGGCGCAGGGCAAGGGGAAACCUCUGUCGUUGCGACGCCGGUUGAGGAGGAAGUUAAUGAUGAUGAUCAUGAAACUCCAGUUCAAGUUUCUGUUGAACCACGCAGGUCGACGAGAUCACGUGCUGCUCCAGAGUGGUACGGUAAUCCCGUCUUAUCAAUCAUGUUGUUAGACAACAAUGAACCUGCAAAUUAUGAAGAAGCAAUGGUGGGCCCAGAUUCCAACAAAUGGCUAGAAGCCAUGAAGUCCGAGAUAGGAUCCAUGUAUGAGAACAAAGUGUGGACUUUGGAGAUACUACCUGAGGGCCGCAAGGCUAUUCAGAACAAAUGGAUCUUUAAGAAGAAGACGGACGCUGACGGCAAUGUGACCGUUUAUAAAGCUCGACUUGUGGCAAAGAGUUUUUCACAAGUUCCAGGAGUUGACUACGAUGAGACUUUCUGACCCGUAGCGAUGCUUAAGUCNNNNNNNNNNNNNNNNNNNNNNNNNNNNNNNNNNNNNNNNNNNNNNNNNNNNNNNNNNNNNNNNNNNNNNNNNNNNNNNNNNNNNNNNNNNNNNNNNNNNUCCUAGCGCAGCAUUAAGGACAUAAUCCUUCUUCCCAGCUUGUAAGAUUAGCUUAAGAUUACGAGCCCAGUCUACAAAGUUGCUUCCAUCAUCUUUCAACUUAGCUUUCUCUAGGAACGUAUUAAAAUUCAGGAUGACUGUCGCGUGAGCCAUGAUCUACAACACAAAUAUAUUCAAAGUGGACUUAGACUAUGUUCAAGAUAAUUAGAGUUCAACUUAAUCAAAUUAUAUGCUAAACUCCCACUCAAAAAGUACAUCUCUCUAGUCAUUUGAGUGGUUCAUGAUCCACUUACACUAUCCCAAGUCCGAUCAUCACGUGAGUCGAGAGUAGUUUCAGUGGUAAGCAUCCCUAUGCUAAUCAUAUCAACUAUAUGAUUCAUGAUCGACCUUUCGGUCUCAUGUGUUCCGAGGCCAUGUCUGCACAUGCUAGGCUCGUCAAGCUUAACCCGAGUGUUCCGCGUGCGCAACUGUUUUGCACCCGUUGUAUGUGAACGUUGAGUCUAUCACACCCGAUCAUCACGUGCUGUUUCGAAACGACGAACUGUAGCAACGGUGCACAGUCAGGGAGAACACAAUUUCGUCUUGAAAUUUUAGUGAGAGAUCACCUCAUAAUGCUACCGUCGUUCUAAGCAAAAUAAGGUGCAUAAAAGGAUUAACAUCACAUGCAAUUCAUAAGUGACAUGAUAUGGCCAUCAUCACGUGCUUCUUGAUCUCCAUCACCAAAGCACCGGCACGAUCUUCUUGUCACCGGCGCCACACCAUGAUCAUCCAUCAACGUGCUGCCAUCGGGGUUGUCGUGCUACUCAUGCUAUUACUACCAAAGCUACAUCCUAGCAAAAUAGUAAACGCAUCUGCAAGCACAAACGUUAGUAUAAAGACAACCCUAUGGCUCCUGUCGGUUGCCGUACCAUCGACGUGCAAGUCGAUUUUUCUAUUACAACAUGAUCAUCUCAUACAUCCAAUAUAUCACAUCACAUCGUUGGCCAUAUCACAUCACAAGCAUACCCUGCAAAAACAAGUUAGACGUCCUCUAAUUUUGUUGUUGCAUGUUUUACGUGGUGACCAAGGGCAUCUAGUAGGAUCGCAUCUUACUUACGCAAACAGCACAACGGAGAUAUAUGAGUUGCUAAUUAACCUCAUCCAAGGACCUCCUCGGUCAAAUCCGAUUCAACUAAAGUUGGAGAAACCGUCAAUUGCCAGUCAUCUUUGAGCAAAGGGGGGUACUCGUAACGAUGAAACCAGUCUCUCGUAAGCGUACGAGUAAUGUCGGUCCAAGCCGCUUCAAUCCAACAAUACCCUGGAAUCAAGAAAAGACUAAGGAGGGCAGCAAAACGCACAUCACCGCCCACAAAAACUUUUGUGUUCUACUCGAGAAGACAUCUACGCAUGAACCUAGCUCAUGAUGCCAUUGUUGGGGAACGUCGCAUGGGAAACAAAAAAUUUCCUACGCGCACGAAGACCUGUCAUGAUGAUGUCCAUCUACGAGNNNNNNNNNNNNNNNNNNNNNNNNNNNNNNNNNNNNNNNNNNNNNNNNNNNNNNNNNNNNNNNNNNNNNNNNNNNNNNNNNNNNNNNNNNNNNNNNNNNNNNNNNNNNNNNNNNNNNNNNNNNNNNNNNNNNNNNNNNNNNNNNNNNNNNNNNNNNNNNNNNNNNNNNNNNNNNNNNNNNNNNNNNNNNNNNNNNNNNNNNNNNNNNNNNNNNNNNNNNNNNNNNNNNNNNNNNNNNNNNNNNNNNNNNNNNNNNNNNNNNNNNNNNNNNNNNNNNNNNNNNNNNNNNNNNNNNNNNNNNNNNNNNNNNNNNNNNNNNNNNNNNNNNNNNNNNNNNNNNNNNNNNNNNNNNNNNNNNNNNNNNNNNNNNNNNNNNNNNNNNNNNNNNNNNNNNNNNNNNNNNNNNNNNNNNNNNNNNNNNNNNNNNNNNNNNNNNNNNNNNNNNNNNNNNNNNNNNNNNNNNNNNNNNNNNNNNNNNNNNNNNNNNNNNNNNNNNNNNNNNNNNNNNNNNNNNNNNNNNNNNNNNNNNUAUAUAUAGGUGGGAGGUAGGGGACCUUGCCUUGGGGCUCAAGGAGCCCCAAGGGGGUCGGCCGAGUCCAAGGGGGGAAGGCGCCACCCCCCCAAACCGAGUUGGACUUGGUUUGGUGGGUGGGAGUCCUUCCCUUCCUUCCCACCUCCCUUUUUUUGCUUUCUCUUUGUUUUUCCUUUAUAUGGCGCAUAGGGCCCUUUUGGGCUGUCCCACCAGCCCACUAAGGGCUGGUGCGCCACCCUUAUGGCCUAUGGGCUUCCCCGGGGUGGGUUGCCACCCCCCCCCCNNNNNNNNNNNNNNNNNNNNNNNNNNNNNNNNNNNNNNNNNNNNNNNNNNNNNNNNNNNNNNNNNNNNNNNNNNNNNNNNNNNNNNNNNNNNNNNNNNNNCGUAUUUGAGUUAUAUGAUUGGUUACCGAAUGUUGUUCGGAGUCCCGGAUGAGAUCACGGACGUCACGAGGGUUUCCGGAAUGGUCCGGAAACGAAGAUUGAUAUAUAGGAUGACCUCAUUUGAUUACCGGAAGGUUUUCGGAGUUACCGGGAAUGUACCGGGAAUGACGAAUGGGUUCCGGGAGUUCACCGGGGGGGCAACCCACCCCGGGGAAGCCCAUAGGCCUUGGGGGAGACACACCAGACCUUAGUGGGCUGGUGGGACAGCCCACAAGUGCCCUAUGCGCCAAGGAGAAGAAAAUCAAGAGAGAAAGAAAAAAAAAGGAGGAGGUGGGAAGGAAGGGGGACUCCCUCCCACCAAACCUAGUCCAACUCGGUUUGGGGGGGAGAGUCCUCCCCCUUGGACUCGGCCGACCCCCUUGGGGCUCCUUGAGCCCCAAGGCAAGGCCCCCUCCCUCCCACCUAUAUAUACGGAGGUUUUAGGGCUGAUUUGAGACGAUUUUUCCACGGCAGCCCGACCACAUACCUCCACGGUUUUUCCUCUAGAUCGCGUUUCUGCGGAGCUCGGGCGGAGCCCUGCUGAGACAAGGUCAUCACCAACCUCCGGAGCACCGUCACGCUNNNNNNNNNNNNNNNNNNNNNNNNNNNNNNNNNNNNNNNNNNNNNNNNNNNNNNNNNNNNNNNNNNNNNNNNNNNNNNNNNNNNNNNNNNNNNNNNNNNNGGGCAUAAUUCCAACACAUUCCCCAACAGUGGUAUCAGAGCUAGGUCUAUGCAUAUAUGGCAUCACGAGUAGAACACAAAGGAGUUUGUGGGCGUUGAUAUUCAGAUUGCUUCCCUCCUUAGUAUUUUCUUAAUUCAACGGUAUUAUGGGAUGAAGCAACCCGGACUAACUUUACUCGUCCACGUAUGAGAGAUCGGUUCCGUCGAGUGACAUCUAACUUUGUUGCAUAAGAUGGCUCGCGGGUGUGUGUCUCUCCCACCUUAGUUGAAUCGAAUUUGACAAAGGCGGUCCUUGUAGAAUGUUAAAUAGCAACUUGCGUAUCACCCUUGUGGCUUUGUGUAGGUAAGAAGUGUUCUCGCUAGAUACCCAUAGCAGCCACGUAAAACAUGCCACAACAAAUUAGAGGACGUCUAACUUGUUUUUGCAGGGUAUGUUGUGACAUGAUAUGGUCAAAGAGGUGAUGAUAUAUAUGACGUAUGAGAUGAUCAUGUUGUAGUAGUUAAUAUCGACUUGUAUGUCGAUGCUACGGCAACCGACAAGAGCCAUAGGGUUGUCUUUAAUUAUUGUAUGACCUACGUGUCAAUCAUUAAGUGAUAUGUAAUGCUUUAAUUUAUCGUUAAACAGUAGUAAUAGUAGUAGAAGCAUGGUUGGCGCGACAACCCUGACGCAACAAGAUGAUGGAGAGGGGUCCCCUAGGAAGGUUCUAUAGGUGCCCAAUAGCCCUUGGAUCAAAGAGGCAUCCAUCGGAGGGCCAAGGAUGAUCGUCCCAGCUCAUAUAAGGAGAAGAAAACCCUGAUUUUUGGGCAGCCACGAAAAGCCACGAAUUUUGCCUCCCCCAUGGCCUCAUAUCCAUGGGGAGGGCUCAUCUACAGCACUAAGAAGCCAUGGAGGAAGUGGGCUAAGGGGCGGCACUACCCCAUGAUGGCCGGACGGCGUAGGAGCAGCCCCCUGCGCCGCCGCCAGCCGCCGGCGCCGCCGUGCACCUCACGUGUUGCCCCUUCUCCAUCCUCUCCGCUAUGAUGCCACCUUCACCAACACCUCCAUCAUCAUCUCCUCCAUAGCUACAGCGGCCCACUCCCCCUCAAACUUCUGUAAUCCCUAUGUAAACAUGGUGUUUGAUGUAAUAAAUUAUUUGCAAAUGAUUUAUUGCAUCUAUGUCAUGUUUGUAUAGUUCCUUUUUGUCAUAUGAUUGAUUGUUGAAUCUCCAUGGAUGGUUUGAGCUAUAUAUUGAAUUUCUUACAGUCCUAUGGUGCCCAUGAUAUGUUUAUGCGCGCAUGGAUCACAUCAUAGGGUUUGGGGUAUAUGGAGAAAGCUAGAGGGCGGGCUGCUUGAGUGACAGAAACAUGAGCCCCAAUCUAGUGAUCAAAGCAUAUGGGAUAAAGAGGACCUUUUGAUCUUAAUGCUAUGGUUGGGUAUUUUUACCUUAAUAUAUCUUCUAGUAUUUACGGAUGUUUGCUAGAGUUCCAAUCAUAAGUACUUGCAAUCAUUGGAUAGUGAGAGCUUGUUAGCUUUACCUGUUGGGGAACGUUGCAUGGGAAACAAAAAAUUUCCUACGCACACGAAGACCUAUCAUGGUGAUGUUCAUCUAGGAGAGGGAGAUCGGAUACACGCACCCUUGUAGAUCACUAAGCGGAAGCAUUAUUAAACGCAGUUGAUGUAGUGGUACGUCUUCACGAUCCAUCCCACGAACCAUCCCGCGAUCCGUCCCACGAACUGUCUUGUGAUCCGUCCCGAUCAAGUGCCGAACGGACGGCACCUCCGCGUUCCGUACACGUACAUCUCGAUGACGAUCUCCACCUUCUUGAUCCAGCAAGAGGGGAGGGAAGUAGAUGAGUUCUCCGGCAGCGUGACGGCGCGCCAGUGAUGGUGAUAAUCUAUUGCUGCAGGGCUCCGCCCGAGCUCCGUAGAAAACCGAUCUAGAGGAAGAACUAUGAUCUAGAGGAAAGGGCAACACGUGGCAAAGUUGUGUCUCAAAAGCCCUAAACCUCUAGUAUAUAUAGGAGGAGGGAGGAGGUAGCCUUGGCGCCACAAGGGAAACUCCCUUGGGUUGGCCGAAGUGGAGGAGGGAGGAGUCCUCCUCCAAUUCCACUUGGAUUAAGACUCCUUCCUUAUAUUCCCACCUCUUUUGGAUUUUCCAUUUUUCCUCAUGGGCUUUCCUUGGAUGACUUUGUCAGCCCAUUAUACCUUAUUGCGUAUCCAAUAAACCCACUUGGACCCCUUGGGGCGUGGUGGGCCCACCCAGUGGCCCCCCGGAACCCAUUCGUCACUCCCGGUACACUUUCGACAAUGCCCGAAAACCUUCCGGAAUCCAAAUUCCAACCUUCUAUAUAUCAAUCUUCGUUUCCGGACCAUUCCGGAACUCCUCGUGACAUCCAGGAUCUCAUCCGGUACUCGAACAAAAACUUCGGUCACCAACACAUAUAACUCAACUAUACCGAAACGUCACCGAACCUUAAGUGUGCAGACCCUGCGGGUUCGAGAACUAUGCAGACAUGACCUGAGACACUCUCUGGUCAAUAACCAACAGCGGGACCUGGAUGUCCAUAUUGGUUCCUACAUAUUCUUCGAAGAUCUCUAUCGGUUGAACCUCUAUGUCAAGGAUUCAUAUAAUCCCGUAUACCAUUCCCUUUGUCCUUCGGUAUGUUACUUGCCCGAGAUUCGAUCGUCGGUAUAUCUAUACCUAGUUCAUUCUCGUUACCGGCAAGUCUCUUUACUCGUUCCGUAAUACAAGAUCCCGUAACUAACUCUUUAUUCACAUUGCUUGCAAGGCUUGUUGUGUAUUACCGAGUGGCCCCCGAGAUACCUCUUCGUCGCACGGAGUGACAAAUCCCAGUCUUGAUCCAUGCCAACCCAACAGACACCUUUGGAGAUACCUAGAGCACCUUUAUAGUCACCCAUUUACGUUGCGACGUUUGAUAACCCAUAAGGUAUUCCUCCGGUGUCCGGGAGUUGCAUGAUCUCAUGGUCAUAGGAACAGAUACAUUGACAUGCAGAAAACGGUAACAAUAAACUCACAUGAUCAUAUGCUACGUUUAUAGUUUGGGUCUUGUCCAUCACAUCAUUCUCCUAAUGAUGUGAUCCCGUUAUCAAGUGACAACACUUGUCUAUGCUUAGAAAACCUUAACCAUAUUUGAUCAACGAGCUAGUCAACUAGAGGCUUACUAGAGAGAGUGUUUUGUCUAUGUAUCCACACAUGUAUUUGUGUUUCCAGUCAAUACAAUUAUAACAUGGAUAAUAAACGAUUACCAUGAACAAAGAAAUAUAAUAAUAACUAAUUUAUUAUUGCCUCUAGGGUCAUAUUUCCAACAUUACCUCUCCCACAUAAAAGAGGAAUAUCAACCUUGUAUUUGACUAUUGGAUCAUGGACAAUUCCACCACAAUUACCACCACUUUUCCGCACUCAUGGUACUGUUAGUUUAUGGUUACUUAGUAUAUUUUAUCGCUGCAACACUAACAUUUAUUUUAUUGUAUUUAUUAUCUUGCAAAGCUUUCUCUCAUACCCGUAUUGUCGCUCUAGUUUUAUCUCCUAGAUAUUGCAAAAUGUUUAGUGUGCGUAGAGUUGUGUCAAUGGUUGAUAUAACUUGAGAGAAUAUUUAUCCCACCUUUAGCUCCUCGUUGGGUUUGACACUCUUACUUAUCGAAAAGGCUACACACGAUCCCUAUACUUGUGGGAUAUCAAGGAGUCGGUGUGGUCGCGGCCGCCUCCAUCUGGCCCGCGGGAGUUGCCGGCGGAGUACCCAAGGGGUCCUCUAGCUGUGUCGGCUAUUAAUACUUCUGCACUAGGCCCGCUGCUAUCGCACUCGGAUUUGUCAGAGGAAUCGUCGAACGAGGAGGGGAACAAGAUGAGGGUGGGCUCGUCGGAGUCGAGCAUGGCCACUUGUCCCGUCGUGGCUUGAAGAGCCACGUCAUGCUUGAUCCAGCGCACAAGUCGUGAGCAUGUGGAGCGCUUGUGACGGGCCGCGACAGGAUGUGGGGAAGUCGAGCAAUACUGGACCGACGACUAUCGGAGAAGGAUUUCGUACGUUGCUGCGCUGAAAUGGUCCACACCGCGGGCGGGCAAUGCAUCCGUAUCCAGCGGAGCUUCCUGCAGCCACGUUGAAUCAUCGGCAAUGAACUUGAGGGAACCAAACAAAAUCUGUGUGACGAGUGUCACCAUGAUGACCAAAAAAAAUGAAUCCCCACCUCCGCCGGAAUUUGCUAAACGAGGAGCGCCAACUGUCCAGGGAACGAUCCUGACAAUAGUACUAGGGUUACAAAUGAGGAGGCGCAACCUAGGUACAGUGAUGGUGUAACACUCAGAUUCUACGAGUUCGGGCCCUCUCGCAGGAGGUAAAGACCCUAUGUCUCCUGCCCGGAGGCUAGUGUUUUCUGUGGGGGUGUGAAUACAACAGGGUGCUGAACCCUUGCCACGGAGCUCAAGGCAGACUUGUAUAGAAUGUGCCUCGGUCCAUUGAGCGUCGUUACAAAGGUGAGUUAAUGUCAUUAUGGAGGCAGUUUGUACUAAUGACAACCCUUAACUACAAGAGUUACUAGUAACGACAACUAUCACUACACUUGUUGUGUUGUUUAAGUCCCUCAGCCGUUGCGGCUCCAAAUCAUCCACGCUUGCCCUGAUCCGAGUGUUGGUGUGUGUGUUCUACUGACUUGAAGACUGGCCGAGUGACUUCAUGGGUCCGAGUGAAACCUUAGUUGCAUCGUUAAUUCUCGGACUUGAAUGACCAUGUGGGCCCCUAGGUGGGCCCUGGAUGGCUGGUCCAUGACCCUACCCUAAUAAGUAGCCUCAUCAGUAGCCUGUACAACCCAACCACCAAGAUACAUCGCAGUAGGUGCGAACAUGCAAUGUAUCCGAUACUUGAAGAUUUUUUUUGCAAUAGAACGUGCCCCCCUACCGCCAAGAACCUCGGCGGUAGGCUGUAAUACCGACCCGACGAUAGAAAAAGGGUCAAAUCCUGUUUUUUUAUAAAUUAGGGUCGUUUUACUUUUAGAAAAGGGACAAAACACGAAAGUUGCAUCGAAUGAGAGUACACACAAAACAAGUGUCCCCCACUCCCGCAUCGCUCCUGGCGGCGGCUCAGGCGGAACCCUAGCCGCAACCGCCCCUACUUCCUCCUUCCUCGCUGUCACCGGAGGAAGCUGGCGGGCUAAGCCUGACCGACAGACGGCGACGGCGAGGCGUUUCCUUUUCCUGUGGUGUGCUCUCGUGGGAGGGAAGUUCGGCCCCUCCGUGGCCUCUCGCGGCGUGGCGUCGCCGGCGUCGACGGGCCUCCUUGGCGUCGCUCGACGGUGUUGGAAUUAUGCCCUAGAGGAAAUAAUAAAUAUAGUUAUUAUUAUAAUUCCUGUAUCAAUAUAAUCGUUUAUUAUUCAUGCUAUAUUUGUAUUGAAUGAAGACUCAUUUACAUGUGCGGAUACAUAGACAAAACACCGUCCCUAGCAUGCCUCUAGUUGGCUAGCUAGUUGAUCGAUGAUAGUCAGUGUCUUCUGAUUAUGAACAAGGUGUUGUUGCUUGAUAAUUGGAUCACGUCAUUACGAGAAUCACGUGAUGGACUAGACCCAAACUAAUAGACGUAGCAUGUUGAUCGUGUCAUUUUGUUGCUGCUGUUUUCUGCGUGUCAAGUAUUUGUUCCUAUGACCAUGAGANNNNNNNNNNNNNNNNNNNNNNNNNNNNNNNNNNNNNNNNNNNNNNNNNNNNNNNNNNNNNNNNNNNNNNNNNNNNNNNNNNNNNNNNNNNNNNNNNNNNNNNNNNNNNNNNNNNNNNNNNNNNNNNNNNNNNNNNNNNNNNNNNNNNNNNNNNNNNNNNNNNNNNNNNNNNNNNNNNNNNNNNNNNNNNNNNNNNNNNNNNNNNNNNNNNNNNNNNNNNNNNNNNNNNNNNNNNNNNNNNNNNNNNNNNNNNNNNNNNNNNNNNNNNNNNNNNNNNNNNNNNNNNNNNNNNNNNNNNNNNNNNNNNNNNNNNNNNNNNNNNNNNNNNNNNNNNNNNNNNNNNNNNNNNNNNNNACUUAGUGUAAGUUGCGGGAUCUUGUAUUACAGAACGAGUAAAGAGACUUGCCGGUAAACGAGAUUGAAAUAGGUAUGCGGAUACUGACGAUCGAAUCUCGGGCAAGUAACAUACCGAAGGACAAAGGGGAUGACAUACGGGAUUAUAUGAAUCCUUGACACUGAGGUUCAAACGAUAAGAUCUUCGUAGAAUGUGUAGGAUCCAAUAUGGGCAUCCAGGUCCCGCUAUUGGAUAUUGACCGAGGAGUCUCUCGGGUCAUGUCUACAUAGUUCUCGAACCCGCAGGGUCUGCACACUUAAGGUUCGACGUUGUUUUAUGCGUAUUUGAGUUAUAUGGUUGGUUACCGAAUGUUGUUCGGAGUCCCGGAUGAGAUCACGGACGUCACGAGGGUUUCCGGAAUGGUCCGGAAACGAAGAUUGAUAUAUAGGAUGACCUCAUUUGAUUACCGGAAGGUUUUCGGAGUUACCGGGAAUGUACCGGGAAUGACGAAUGGGUUCCGGGAGUUCACCGGGGGGGGGGGGGCAACCCACCCCGGGGAAGCCCAUAGGCCUUGAGGGUGGCACACCAGCCCUUAGUGGGCUGGUGGGACAGCCCAAAAGGCUCUAUGCGCCAAGGAGAAGAAAAUCAAGAGAGAAAGAAAAAAAAAGAGGAGGAGGUGGGAAGGAAGGGGGACUUUCUCCCACCAAACCUAGUCCAACUCGGUUUGGGGGGGGGGGGGGGNUUUUGUUUCCCAUGCGAUGUUCCCCAACAGACGGCUCUCCCACGACAGAUCUCGGCGGGGUGGCAUCCCCCUUUUCCUCCUGCGCGAGCUCGUGCAUGUGCUCGUCGUCGGAUGUGGCAGUUUCCUAGAUCUGGCCAUCUCCGACUGGUUCUGGCCCGUCGGGGGUCUGCCCUGGCUAGGGGCCGUGGUGGUCUGCGUCGGCCACGCUUUGGAGGGCUGCGGUUGCCGGGGCGGCGUCCCCGGAUUUGGUGGCGACAGCUUUGGCCAAGGGUGUGUGUGUUUGGUCACGGUGGACUGUGGGAUCCCGUGGUCAAAACGAGGUAAGCCUCGGCAACUCGUGGUUGGUUGGUGGCGACGGGUAUUCGGCGGAGCUCCGAGAGAAAUCUUUGCGAAGCUGGCGACGGCGGCGCCUGCGGGUGUCGUUAUCCUUCUUGGAAGCGUCGUCGUGGAGGUGUGUUGCUCCUCCCGACGACCCGAGCUCCGGAGGGAAACCUCAGGUUCCGUAGAUCGGGCGAUGGAGGCGUCAUUGCGUCUUUUUCCUCCUUGGGGGCAUCGCCUCGGAGCCAGCUACGACAGGGAGACUAGUGUAUUGUGGCAUCUUCGCCAUGGAUGACGGCUUAUUCAUCACAUGGUUUGCUGAGGUGGGCGCUGGUUGCUGUUUGGCAACGAUGAUGGCGUUGAGAGGAGCUCGGGUCGCGCCGUGGACUUUGGUAGUCGGUUUUUUCCGGCUUGUCCAAAGUGGUCUUUCUGUGGGUUGCUUGGUUGUUUGAAGUCGGAGGUGCGGAGGAGCGAGUCCAGGCGGUGACGAUGACAGACGCUUGAUGAUCGUUUGCAAAGGGCACAGUCGGUGCAAGUCCUGCAUAUUUCCCUUGUGAUUCUCGUCGUCAAGGUUGGAGCUGUCGGCUGCUGGCGUGUGUGGUCAUCCGAUGGCAUGUGCCGUUGUGGUUUUUUUUUGCAGCUGUUUGCGGGAUGGCUUCGAUGUUGGAGCUCGAUGGUGAAGUCGGAGUCGUUCGUUCGAGGCGACCGGUGAUGACAAUGACGCUUGCGACUCCGCGGCGGAUGUCUUUCUUCUUUGGAGCUUCAGGUCCCAUGUCGGUGAUCAGGUUGACCGGUGGUGCGUGUGUCAUAUGAGUUGUGUAUUGUAUCGGUUUUAGCCGGUUUUCCGUCAAUUAACCGGACAAUUCUCUUUUUCUUAAUCAAUAAAAAUGGCAAAUCUUUUACCUUGUUUUUUUUAAAACACUAAAAGUCAUCCCCGGGUCGCUCGUCACGGUCACCAAAGGAUGCGCAAUGAACAGAGUUGGCUUCAGGCACACGGCGUUUCUGCAUGCAUGCGUGUUCCCCAUGCCGGGCCGGCUCCCCGCCAUGCGGCCAUGGUCUGAUGCAAGUCCGGUACGUGCCCGGGCAGUCUGCCAGCGCGUGUGGCCAUCCCCACUCGUCGAUUUAAUAUAUUUCUUCUUCUUUGUUUGAGCAUAACACGAAGUACUAGUAGGAGUAUGCAUUUUUUUCUUCAUUCAAUCAUCUUUGCGUGGUGAGGGGACACUGACUGCGACUAGAGCGUGGUACCAUGACAGGCGAUAAAGCUGACAAAGCGAAAGAGUGGCGCCGUCCGUGCGGGCCGGGCGGUUUUCUCGCCACGCCGGGGAUGGCCCAAAUAAAUGAAACAUCCUUCCUGCUGAUGACGAAGAGCGUCCCACUCGCCAGUCGGCACUCGCCGUCGCCGUCGUCGACGCCGCUCGGCCUCGACGAUCCGGUGCGGCCGCCGCCGCUCGUGCACGCGCAUGGUUGCACCGUUCAUCGUAAAUCGAAGACUCCAACCAGUGUACUGGCCGCACGUCCCUUGGCUUCCGCGCAAACAGCCUGCAGUGCAGGCUGCAGAUGUGAGAUUCACGCGCGGAUCCAAUUCAAGGCGCGCGCAGCAACCCCGGCCCGGAGCAGUCAAAGCAGGAGUGGCUGGCUAGUGCGUGGUAGUUUUGUUUGUGUUCCCAUACCAGAACCGGUCAAAAAAAACGACCGCGUCUCUACACGGUCUUCACGGACCGGAAUCAAGUCCAAGCAAGCGCACGCGUACCACACCACACCACACCACACACCACCCCGUGAUCCUUGUCACGCCCCAAAACUCGCAAAAAGCAUUUUGCACGGCAGAAGAAGGCGCAGUUAGCAUGCGAAGAAGAAGGAAAAAGAAAGGAUGAGGGAAAGUUUGGGGACACGAAUCGUCGAAGAUAGCGAGGAAUUCCUCCGAUCAGUACCGUCCCAUCCUCAAGCGUGCGUGCGUGCGUGCGUGCUUAUCCACGACGUAGCUGUCCAUCAACGGUCCAGACGAACACACACACACACACACACACAGGGCCGUGUGAUGGAUGCCUUGUUGGAAUGGGACAGGUAACGACUCGCACGUCACGGAAAAUCUGGGCUGACAAGUAAGCCGCCAAGCUUCGCUGGACGCCUCCAAACCAGCAGCAUCAUUUGCAUACACAGAAAAAAACAUGUAGAGAGAAAUAAUCACACUAUUAUAUUCAGAAUAUAUAUAUGGUGGUGCAGUGGCGCUCCAUAUAGCAAAGAAAUUAGAAAUCUCGCGUUGUCGUUCCCGCCAGCCGACCUGCUGCCGACUACACACAACUAUCAGAGCUGGCAAAAAAAGAGGUAGAAAAAGAAAGAGCCUUGUGCAGCGCUGGCUCCGCCCAGAGCUGUCCACGCGCCAGCAGAGCAGAGGGACGUGGCCGCGAGCGGCGCACGGCCGGCCCGGGUCAGUCAACCCGGCGCCGCAGCCCGGGCCCACGCGCAGCGAGAGGUGGCCGCGCCCCAGCAGCAGUCCUGAUGAGCCGAGCGGCGAGACAAGAGAGGAGAGGAGAGUCGGAGCCGCCCACGACAAACCCGCUCUCGAAAAUCUCCUGCCCGAACCCACACCAAAAACCAAAUCACGCCACCUUAAACUCCUCCCCGUAAAACCAAUCGCCUCCCCACCGUCGCGUGCGUUAAUCCGCCGGAUCCCAACCCCGCGUGCGUGCGUGCGUUCGUUCAUUAGCCCAGACACGGGAAAAGGAAGGCAGGCGAGGUCAAGAGAGAGAAGACCGUCAGACCAUUCGGCCGGCGGCUCGGCGGCGGCAGCGGCGGCGGCGCGCGGAGCAGUAGCACCAGCGGAGGGGGAUCAGCGAGCCGGAGCGCCUCAAACCCCUCCCCGACCAGCCCAGGUGAGCCGGCUCGACGGAUUCCUCGCCCCCUAGUUCUCUCUCUGUGUUUUUUUCCCCUUCUCUCCCGCGGAUCUUCCCCGGCGUUUCUUCGACGGGCGGCGGCCCCGCCGUCGGUUUCCGGGGCGUGCGGCCUCCCGCGCCGCGGUUGCUUCCUCCCGCACGCGCGGCGGGCAGGGGGUGGUUUGGGGCAGCGGUCAAACGGCGAUUCUGGUGGGCGGACCACGGGUCAAACUCCGGGAUCGAGUGGUUGGCCUGCGCAAUUUCGGUCCAGGCCAAACACUUGCACGCUCGAUUUAGUUUUCUUAUUACUCUUACUUCGUAGGUAGAGCAAAUCGACAGCAGAGCCUUAUUAAGAAAACUAGCAAGGAAUCAAUAAUAGAAGGGUCCGAUUCGUGGGCGUGUUUCGAUCCGACGUUGCCUUUUCGUAGAUUCCGCCAUAUGCUCUCUUCUUAGUGAUGGAUGGAUACUAGCGGAAAAGGUGCGUCGCCAACUCGGUGGGGGCGCUUUUGGUUAUAUGGCCUUGAUACUACCGGAAAAAGUACGCACGGUUAGUUAUUAGGUGGCUUUCUGGCUGGAUGUUGGAGUGAGAUGCAAGCUGAUUUUGUUGCCCCGUACCAGGUGGCUGUCACCAGUUUAGCUGCUUUCUGUGGUUGAUGGCUGAUAAGGUCCACUCCAGUUGGAUUUAGGUGAUUCAAAGCUGAUUGAUGGCAUGGUUUACUUGUUGGGUGCAUGCUACAGCUGGGUAAAUUGGAAUUGAAUGUGUACAAGUUUUAUGUUAUUCAGCUCGUAUUUGAGUGUAAAACAUGUACAGAAUAAAUAUGCAUCGCCAAAUACUGAGUUGUACAAAAGCAGCUUAAUCAGACGGGAUUAUAAUCUAAUAAGUGCCCCUGUGAUGUAAUUCUUACUCCCUGAUGCUAUAUGGCUUGUCUUCGUGUUCUCGAUCACACUACUGAAUUGAAUAUAUCCUUGCUUGCACAAGUAACAGGCAUUUAGGAUGGUUGAUAACAAGAGUGAUGGGUCUGAAGGGGUCAAGUUCAACACAUCGCACCUGAUGCAAACAACCGAAGAGGUUGCAAGAGCAUUUAUUGCUGCUACUUCAGCUGCCACUGUGCAACCAACACGGCCAUCUGUCGUCUAUUCGUCUGGGGAAGAGAGUGGCAGCCCAAUGCAGAAGCUGCAGCAGCAAUUCUCGAAGAUCAUGAAAGGGUUUUCAAAUUCACCCGAAGUGUCUGGACCAUACAAUCCAGAGGUUCUCACGACACACAAGCGGCAGUGGUCGAGGUUCCAGCAGAAGUCAUUGGUAUGUAUGACACUACCAAUGUUCAAUUCAUGUCUACCUAUUAUGCUCUACUUGGUGUGGGAUAUGCUCUGCUGAUUAACUAAGGUGCUUAGCCAGAGCUGUAAUGUUAAUGAUUGAUGUGAUACCUGGCUUCUUUUCAAACUAAUAGGUAUAAGUUCAACCAAACCAUGUCAAUUUUCUGUAGUUGUUCAGUGACUCAAAGUGUCUUUGUCUACAGCUACUGUUUAAGCAUAAUACUCGUGUUUGCAGUUCAUCCUACUAAUAGUAUCUACUUGAUUUUCUUCCACUAGUUUAUGUAGGACAUAGUCUAUGUGUGGUCACGUGACACAAUGCCAUUUGUUUUGUUAUCUAUAUUGCUCUAGUGUCCAGGCUACCUACUGGUUUUGGUGUCUAUGACCGCCAUUUACUUUAACUGUUUGUAUUUGAUAUACUUUGAUUAACACUGUUCUCUAGUAUCUACAUUCAUGCAAUGUUGCUUUGAAGGGUCAUUAUCAGAGAAAAUUAUAUCCCAUGUUUGAUACAAGUGGAGUCUUGUCACUGAUAGCUCUUAAUUGGGCUCUUUUGGUUAGGAGCCUAUCAAGUAGCGAUUGAUAAAAUAUUGCUAAAUUACUUAAAACCUAUGAAAAACUUUGUUGUGCCUUGGUUAGAGGUUUGGGUGUUUGACUUGUGAGCUGCAGGAGCUAUUCUGCUGUUGGGAUAUUCAUGUUAGUCAUACUGUGAAGCAGUCUCAUAUUUCGAUAUCGAGGAGAAAUUACCAUUGUUCUGUUGGAAACCCUGAAAUUGGGCUUGCUUAGUACUCCCUCCGUCCCAAAAUAAAUAUCUCAACUUUGAUGAUGUGAGUACUAAAGUUGAGACACUUAUUUUGGGAUGGAGGGAGUACCUUCUACACAAGUGUACAAGUAUUUAUUGCACCUGCAGACACAAUUUGUUUGCUUUUGGGGUUCUUUUGAAAUCUGAUUUAAGUGCUUUAGGUAAGUAUGCAAUGUAGGCUCUUGCUACUAUUUGGCCGACUGCUUCCUGCUGAAUUGGCCUAGCAUUUUGAAACUAGUAGGACUGGUAAUUGUGGCAAAUGUUGAAGAGCAUAGUGCCUCAAGUUCUUUUUUGUUGGAACAGGGUAAUAGGUGCAUCAAAGAACCAUCACAUCUUUUCGAGAGCAUAGUGAUUGUUGGGCUUCCUCCUCAGGCAGAUAUCCAUGAGCUAGAAAACAUUGCUCUAGGGAGAAAUGAUGAUGAUGCAAAGAAAUCAAGACAUAUAUUUGGCAACAACCACCACCAAGUUCAUGCCGUAUCAAAUUUGGAACCUCAGGUUAUCACUCACAUCAUCUAUUGUUGCAUGUUCUUAUAAAAUGGAGGUCCUAUUGCUGCCUUUCUUAACGUGUCUGAACCCACAAUUCCCUUGCUUUUCCCCCCAGAAUAUACCCUAUGCUGAUAUUUUGUCUUGUCCUUAAGGUCCUUUUUGCAUACCCCCCUGAGAGGUCUCUUCCGCUUAAGUACAAGGAUAUCGUCUCGUUCUGCCUUCCUGGAGGUGCACAGGUCUGCCACAUUUGAACUACAUAACCCUGAUACUUAGCAUUUCUGUAUAAUAAAUGUUUGCGACGAUUAUACAUUGAACUUCAAUUUUACCAAGUUUUAUGGUGCUACCCUGAUACUUAGCAUUUCUUUAUAAUAAAAUGGUUGCGACGAUUAUACAUUGAACUUUAAUUUUACCAAGUUUUAUGGUGCUUCCUGUAUAGGUUAUAUUUUUUUACAGGGUUCACAUAUUGUUAUGUCUGGUUCAGUUCAUAAUACUGUAACUUGCCACCUGGGUUACAUUUCUAAUUAUAAUGCAAUAAAAAAAACGGCAAUGCCCAUGUGUAGGAAACAGAGUUAGGAGACAUCGAAGACAUCGAGAGAGAAGACCAAGAAGGAAAGUAAAAUAAAUAAAUUAGUUAGCACUAGCAUGUCCAGCCCCUGCUGAGUCACCAGCCUAGUUGUCUACGUCCAUCAUGCAUGCAAUACUGCAAU
This 57051-nucleotide long non-coding RNA is filed under the name Hordeum vulgare. RNAcentral's name for it is "long non-coding RNA (HVUL_LNC016873)". The record is from RNAcentral. Lineage: Eukaryota; Viridiplantae; Streptophyta; Magnoliopsida; Poales; Poaceae.